RNAcentral lists this long non-coding RNA (57653 nucleotides) under Nicotiana benthamiana. RNAcentral describes it as "long non-coding RNA (NBEN_LNC012086)". The record is from RNAcentral. Lineage: Eukaryota; Viridiplantae; Streptophyta; Magnoliopsida; Solanales; Solanaceae.
AACCCAUUCCUAUCCCGCCCUAUCGUAUGGCCCCACCUGAAUUGAAAGAGUUGAAGGAACAGUUUCAAGACUUUCUCGAGAAGGGUUUCAUUAGACCCAGCGUUUCUCCUUGUGGUGCGGCGGUGUUGUUUGUUAAAAAGAAUGAUGGGUCAAUAAGAAUGUGUAUUGAUUACCGGCAAUUGAACAUGGUGACAACAAGGAAUAAAUAUUCCCUGCCAAGGAUUGAUGAUUUGUUCGAUAAGCUUCAGGGUGCCAAUGUAUUUUCCAAGAUUGACUUGAGAUCUGGCUAUCAUAAGUUGAGGAUUAGGGCUUUUCGAUGUCCCCAAGACAACUUUUCGCACUAGGUACGAGCAUUAUGAGUUCUUGGUUAUGUCAUUCAGGUUGACAAAUGCCCCAGCAGCUUUUAUGGACUGAUGAACCAAGUCAGGACUUAUUUGGAUUCAUUCAUGAUAGUCUUCAUUGAUGACAUAUUGAUAUAAUCCUGCAGCCAAGAGAAGAACGAACAUCACCUUAAAGUGGUUCUUCAGAUUCUGAGGAUAGCUGAUUAUAUGCUAAAUUUUUGAAGUGUGAGUUCUGGUUGAGUUCAGUUGCAUUCUUGGGUCAAGUUGUAUCAGCAGAGGGUAUUCAGGUCGAUCCGAAGAAGAUUAAGGCAGACAAGAACUAGCUUAGACCAGUAUCAGCUAUAGAGAUUCGGAGUUUUUUGGGAUUGGCAGGUCAUUAUCGACAGUUUCUGGAGGGGUUCUUAUGUAUCGCAGCCCCGAUGACCAGGUUAACCCAGAAGGGUGCCCAGUUCAGAUGUUCAGACGAGUGUGAGGCGAGCUUUUAGAAACUCAAGACAGCUCUGACUACAGCAGCGGUACUGUUUUUGCCUACAGGUUCAGGAGCUUAUACAGUUUAUAGUGAUGAUUCCCGUACUGGGCUUGGUGCAGUGUUGAUGCAAGAUGGCAAGGUUAUUGCCUAUGCUUCGAGGCAGUUGAAGAUUCAUGAGAAGAACUAUCCAGUUCAUGACUUAAAGUUGGAGCCAUUAUUCUCGCGUUUAAGAUUUGGAGGCAUUAUCUAUAUGGCGUAGCAUGUGAGAUUUUCAGUGAUUGCAAUAGUCUUCAGUAUCUGUUCAAGAAGAAGAAGUUGUGAGGUAGAGAAGGUGGUCUGAGAUAUUGAAGGAUUAUGAUAUCACCAUUUUAUAGCAUUCGGAAAAGGCCAAUAGGGUGGCCGAAUGCUUUGAGUAGGAAGUCAGCACAUUUCAUUCUUAUGGCAGUCUCCUAUUCUUCUGAGAGGUUAGCUGAGAUCUACAUUCGGAGAUUGUUCGCCUUCAUUAUCUGCUCGUAUCAAUCAUUUCGGACCGUGGUACGCAGUUUACCUCGCACUUCUGGAGGGCAUUUCAGCGAGAGUUAGACACACGGGUUGAGUUGAGCACCACAUUUCAUCCCCAUGUAGAUGGUCAGUCCGAGCGGACUAUUCGGAUCUUAGAGGAUAUGCUCUGAGCAUAUAUUAUUGACUUUGGAGCUUAUGUUACAUACAACAACAUCUACCAGUCAAGAAUCCAGAUGGUUCCUUAUGAGGCUUUGUAUGGUAGGCAGUGUCUGUCUCCGGUUGGAUGGUUUGAGCCGAUAGAGGCUCGGCUGUAGGGUACGGAUCAGUUUUAUGGGGCCUUGGACAAGGUCAGUAUCAUUCAGGAUAGGCUUCGUUCAGCUUAAUCCAGGUGAAAGAGUUAUGCAGACCGUAAGGUUCGAGGUGUAGCUUUUAUGAUUGGUGAGUAGGUACUACUCCGAGUGUCACCUACGAAGGAUGUGAUGAGAUUCGGGAAGAAGAGCAAGCAUAAUCCUAGGUUCAUUGGUCCGUUUGAGAUUCUUGAGCGAGUGGGAGAGGUGGCUUAUAGACUUGUUUUGUCGCCGAGCUUAUCAGCCGCGCAUCCAGUAUUUCAUGUAUCUAUGCUUCAAAGGUAUCACGACGAUCCAUCACUCAUGUUAGAUUUCAGCACUGUCCAGCUGGGCAAGAACUUGUCUUAUGAGGAGGAGCCAGUAUCUAUUCUAUACUGGCAGGUUCGUCAGUUAAGAUCCAAGAGUUUCCCUUCUUUUUGUGUUCUGUGGAGAGGUCAGCCUCCUAAGGCGUAGACCUCGGAGUCCGAGUCCAAUAUGCAGAGCGAUUAUCCUCAUCUUUUCUCGACUCAGUUACUUCUUUCUUCUGUCCAUUCGAGGACAAACGGUUAUUUUAGAGGUGGAUAAUGUGAAAACCCAAAGAGUCAUUACCUGUUUUUAAUUAAUUCUGUGCUUUCAAGGCCUUGAAAACCUCCUUUAGGGUCACUUAGAUUUGUGUGCAUUGUCCAGGCACGUAGCCGGAAAGCUUAAAUAUGAAAUUAUGUGAAAAAUGCUAAGUUUUGAAAUUAAAAUAAAUAAAUUUGACUUUGUUCAACAUUUUGAGUAAACGGACCCGGACCUCUAAUUUGAUGGUCCUGGAGGAUCUGUAGGAAUAUAUGGGACUCGGGCGUAUGCCCGGAAUCGAAUUCCAAGGUCCUAAGCCCGAGAAAUGAAUUUUUAAAAGAAAUUGUAUUUCUGAAAUUGUUAAGAAAAAAUUAAAAUGAUAUUUGAUUGGAACGUGCUGGUAUCAGGCCCGUAUUUUUUGUUACAGCGCCCGAUACAUGUCUUAAAUGUGAAUUAAGAUAUUUCUGUAAAGUUUGGAUAAAAUAGAUGUCGUUUGACGUAUUUCGGACUUAAAGUUGUAAAUUUGAAACUUAAUGAAGUUUGAGGAAAAAACUCUUGAUUUUGAUGUUUGAUUCAUUGUUUUUAUGUUAUUUUGGAAAUUUGAUCGCAUGGAUAACUUCGUAUGAUGUUGUUGAGUUAGUUCGUGUAUUUGGUUAGGAGCCUCGAGGGCUCGGGUGUGAUUCGGAUAUGUUUCGGGGUUGUUUUAGCCUUAGAAAAAAAUUGCAAAACUGUUGUCUGUUGUUGUCCAGUUCUUUGUGCUAUGCGAUCGCAUAGCCAUGUCCGCGAUCGCAUAGUGUAAAGUUUCAGGGGUCCAAUUUGUUCUAUGUGAUCGCAUAGAUCCUCCUGAUCGCAUCGUGUCAGCUUGAGAAGCCCUGUACUUUCCUCUAUGCGAUCGCAUAGUCCUGUUCGCAAUCGCAGUGCUCCUUUCAUGAUCUCGAUGAUCAUUUUCCCCUUCCUCUAUGCAAUUGCAUUGCAUUCUUCGCAAUCACAUAGACCAUUUUUCGCCCAAUUAAAUUUUAAAAUCCCAGAACAGUGUCAUUACGGGAUUCACCAAAAAUUCACAAAACCUCUUCUUCUCCAAAGCUCUUAGGCGCUUUUUGAAGCAGUCCUUCACCAUAAUCUCUUGGAUAUGUAAUCUUUAACUUAUUUUCUUUCAUUUUCAUCAACAUCUAAUGAAUUUCUAGGCCUAAAACAUAUUAUUAAGGGUAGAAAAUUAGGGACUUUUUGAUUAAUGGUGAUUUAAAUGUCAUUUUGGGGUCGAAUUCUGAAAAUAAUUAUAAAUUUGGGCUCGUGGGUGAAUGGGGGAUUUUAUUUUGGUUCGAACCUCGUUUUUUUACCAAGCGGGCCUAGGGAUGAUUUUUGAAAUUUUGGGAAGAAUAUUGGAAAGCUAUAAUUAGGCAUUGAAUUCGAAUUAUUUCGUAUUUAUUGAUGUUAUGAAGUCAUUUAUGUGUAGAGACAAUUGAUUUGGAGCCAAAUUCGAACGGAAAGGCGGUUGUUGAGGAUUGAGUUGGCCGUGGAAGUUCGAGGUAAGCGUUUGGUGUAACUUUAUCUUGAGGGAUUAGGAGUUGAGUCCUAACUUCUAUGUGGUAAUUAUUGAGUACAACGUAUAGGAAUGGUGACGAGUGUCUAUACGUUGGUGUCAAGCAUGACCAUGGUUCUUAUAUUGUGAAUUUUAUGCUUCAUUGUAUUAUUCAUGCCUUGGUGAAGUUUUCUAUUUGUUGUGUAAAGUAGUGAAAAGAAUUGUGACCUAUGAACAUUGAGGAGCGUCGGCUCCAGUUGUAUAAUGAAUUGUGAAAAUAUAAGUGAUAAAUGAACUCUAGAGUAUUGGCUCAAGUUGUGAAGUGAAUUGUGAAGUAAAAGUGAGAAAGAGAAGAGAUCAUUAUGUUGCCCCCUUGCUGCUCUAUCGUUGAGUUGUGGUUCCCUUAUAUUGUGUUCUUAGUUGAUAUUACAGAUGCUUAGGUUGAUGAUUUCUUGUGUUAGGUAUUAUAAUAAGUUUAGUUAUUGCUAAAGUAGUUAGAUGUUGAUAUGAGAUUGGUUAUAGCCGAAGUAGUUAGGUGUUGUAACAAGUUUAAUUAUUGUCAAGGUAGUUAGGUAUUGGAACAAGUUUGAUUAUAGUUGAGGUAUUUAGAUGUUGGAACGAGUUUGGUUAUUACUGUUACUCCAUUUCUAGGAUAGUGUAGGCCUUCUUGAUCCAUUGUCGGGACUCUUGUUAUAAUUGUAAAUAUUUUAUAUGGAUCAGGUUGCUUCCGCAACAAUAUUAUAUAUGGAUUGGGUUGCACGCUACAACAAUACUAUAUAAAUGGAUCAGGUUGCACGCUAUAAUAAUAUUAUAUAUAUUGAUCAGGUUGCAUGCCGCAACAAUAUUAUAUUUGGAUCGGGUUGCAUGCCGCAACAGUAUUAUAUGGAUUGGGUUGCACGCCACAACAAUAUUAUAUAUGGAUCGGGUUGCACGCCACAACAAUAUUAUCUAUAUGGAUCGGGUUGUACGCUGCAACAAUAUUAUAUAUAUGAACCGAAUUGCACGCCGCAACAAUAUUAUAAAUGGGAGCGGGUGGUACGCCUUCCACGAGAUAUAAUGAAAUGGGAGCAGGUGGUAUGCCUACUAGGAGAUAUGAGAAAUGGGAUCGCGUUGUACGCCUGCAACAAGAUGAAGUUGAAAGUGGGAAUUGCCUUUAUUUCUCUUUGUCCAUGUUAGAAGUUAAAUGAUAGUUUCCUGAUUGUUCUUUGAUAUUCUGUUUAUCUGCCACCCUCGUAGCAUGUUUCCCUUUUCCAAUUUUAAUUGCUUAUUACCUGUUUACUUUUCCGUCGUAUAUUAUGUAACUGCACAAAUUUAUCUGGAGUCUGGUUCUAGCCUCAUCACUACCUCACAAGGGUUAGGCCAGACACUUACCAGCACAUGAAUUCGGUUGUUAUAAUACUACACUCUGUGCUUUUUUUGUACAGAUCUAGGUACCGGACCACUACAGUAGUUCUAGAGCCAACCUUCAUUCCACUGAGACCCCGAGGUAGCCUUGCAGACGUUCGCAGACCCCGCGUCUUCUUAAUCUUAUUUUAUAUCCUAUUUUCUCAUGUAUUCGAGACAAAUAGUGUUUAUUUCUUUCGAACAGUCGUAUGUAGCACUCUUAGUAGUCCGUGAAUGUUGUGACACUAGGUUCUGGUUAGAGGCAUGUAUUGGUCUUUAGGAUAUUUUAUUUUAUAUUUAUUUCAGACUUCCGCUAAAUUUCAUAUUACGCUGUUACUUAAUUAUUUAUUCCCUGUUAAUUUAAUUGGUUAAAAGUGAAUUAAUACAGAAGAGGCUAAUGGUUUCAAGGUUCAUGGCUUGCCUAGAUUUCACGAGUAGGCGCAAUCACGACCCCCAAAGGUGAGAAAUCCGGGUUGUGACAACUACAUCAUCAAAUUCACAAAGAAAGAAAACAUGGAUAAAGCUAUUCACCUAGGGCUAUGGUUCAUUAAUAGCCAUUUCCUCUCUAUCUCUAAAUGCAAACCAAAUUUUGUGGCCCGAAAUGAUAGAUUUACUACCUCAGCAGUUUGGGUAAGGCUUCCCCAAUUACCAACGGAAUUCUAUGAUGGUAAAAUCCUAGCAAAAAUUGGCAAUGCAAUAGGACGCCUACUGAAAAUUGACACGUGCACCUCAACAAACCUUAGAGGUCGAUAUGCAAGAAUUUGUGUUGAAAUCCCUUUGGAAGUCCAUGUUCAACCCUUCCUAUUUGUUAGAAAUCAUAAACAAGAUAUUUAUACUCUAUGAAGGGGAGGAUUUUCUUUGCAAAAAUUGUGGUCGCUUUGGUCGCACACUAAGACAACACCUAUAUCAAAAUUCAAAGCUUGGAUCCUCACCAUGCAGGACAAGAACCUCAAAAAGAAGCUACAAAAGAUGCCAUGGACUCUAAAUGAAAAACAGUUUCCUUCAACAAGAAGAAGAAUCACGGCAAACAAAAUCCAAACCACCUGCCGAACAUCCAAGCAAGAGGCAACCAAGGUCCAGGUAUUCCGGUUAACUUAUUCAAUGCAAAAACAGGUAAGUUUUUGGUUACUCAAACUCUCCAAUAUAAGAGUAAAAAUUAUCCUUCUAGUAAUCAAAUUCCUCCGAAUAAUACCCAUCUAGACACGGCUACUUCUCAAACAAACUCUCACGAGAAAAACCACCAAUUAGACAAUAGACAAAUGAUUUUGCUAAAAAACACUAAGGAUAUUGUCAAUUUUUUUUGUGAUAAUAAUUUUAAUAAAUUAAAUAAUGGGUUGGAUUGACAUAAAAGAUAUGUGCAUGCAAGACUCCACCGUUGCACCUUAUAAUAUCAACUCUAUAGUUAAAGCAAUUGCCAUGCAAAUAGGCUCUAGCAUGGACGAUUCUACCCCUACCUUUAAUCCUAUCCCUACUUCCCCAAACCCUCCCCCCCAUUCGAAAUCUCCCCAAAAUCUUUUGUUAUCUAAAGAAUCUACCCAAAAUCCCUCCUUAAAAUAUGAUAAGAUCCCCCCUUCAUGCAAAUUGACCAAAUGGCAAUGGUUAUACAAGAAAGUAGCUAAAUGGACCUUCCCAUAGGAAAUCCAAACAAAACCAUCAAGUAUUCUAUAAAUCAUGACCUAGGGAAACCAAAAUCCAUAAACCAAAAUGAAGCAAUCAUCAUUCCUUUCCCCAAUCGAUUAAAGCCUUCUCCUACCCAAAAUCCCAUGCCAACAUCUAGUGUAAUAAAUACAACUCCCUUUAUUCAAGAUGUCAAGAGUUCCUUCAACCCUAAGAAGAAGAACUCAACUAAUUCAAAUCCUAAGAAAACGAUAUCCUCUCAAUAUGGAAAACAUUCCUCCCUCCUUCCUCACAAAAAACCCUAGAUUAUUUACACUCAACCACCCCAAGCCGAAGAUUAUCAACCCAUGAGUUGGAUGAAGCUAGGUCUCAUGGGCUAUGCACUCUCGUUCAUAGUCUCGAUCAUCGGUCAAGAGGCCAUUGUGAUAUUGCACAAUACGCAAUAUCUAGCUCAACUUAUAACGGAGGGAAUGAGAUUGGAAAUGAACAAUUAUCUCAGCCAAGUAUGGCUCAACAACAUCAUUCAUCCCAUGGAUCCAUCAAUGAACCCUCAAAUGGCUCAAACGAUGGGAGAGAAAUGGAGCAUGCCACCCCAGUUCAACCUCAUAAACACUCAAAAUGCACAUUGGAUCUCCCCUUCUUUCCAACGGAGAUGUAUACCCACCUAAACCCCAUCUUUCUCCCAUGGGAUGUCAAUCUGGGGAACCAGAUGAUGGAACCCCCACCACCACCACCACCCCCACCCCCAUCACCAAGACAAACCUAUACCAAUGGAGGCAGAGAUGGAGGAGGACGAUGUUCCCCUCAACCUUCACUUAGGGUCAACCCUAGAACUCUCAAGCAUAGAGAGAAUAAAAAAUUUUCUCUUCACGGAAAGGCACGAGAAGAGGGCAUGUUCUCAGCUUUCCAUUGUCCUAUUCAAAUGCUUGAUGGAUAUUCGUCCUCCACACGACCCAACAAUGGGAAACAAAGUAAUGAUUCUAGUUCCAUCCAUAAGGAGAAAACCUGUCCAAGCCAUGAUAAGGGAAAAUGGGGAGAUGAUCAACACUGACUCAUAUUUAGCCAUGAAUCAACACACUAAUUUCAUAGUAUGAAAUAUCCAGGGAGAAAACAAUGAUAAUUUUAGGAGAAAUUUUAGGGAGAUGCUAGACACUCACAGGUCAUGUUUGGUAACUUUGUUGGAAACAAGGAUGGGCAAUCAUGCAGUCAUGCUUAACGAAUUUGGAUUCACUGAAAUGAUAGAAGUUCCAUCGAAGGGGCAGUCAGGUGGUAUGGUUAUGAUGUGGAGGGAUGACAUAAUCAACGUUCAAAAUGUUGUUAGAAGAGGUUAGGAGAUCCAUGUAACCAUGGAAGUACAACCUAUACGCAAACCUUGGCUUUUUACCUCUAUCUAUGCUAGUACUGAUAUUUAUUAUAGAAAUAUCAUAAGGGACCACCUAGAAAAUAUUAGUAAUACUUAUAAAGGACAUUGGUUAGUAGGUGGUGACUUUAAUGACAUUUUAGCCGCUAGUGAGAAAUUUGACGGUAAACCCAUCAAAUAUAGUAGAGCCAGGUACAUUGGGUCCAAAAUUAAUAAGUGCAAUCUAGUUGAUCUAGGCUUCAAAGGAAGCAAAUACACUUGGACCAUUAAUAGACAUAAUAAAAAGAGUCUUAUAUUUGAAAGACUUGAUAAAGUUUACGGAAAUGAGGAAUGGAUUGAACUAUUUCCUAAAAGCUCUAUUAUCUAUUUCCCUAGAACUCACUCUGACCAUAAUCCUAUCCUUGUACAAUUAAUUCUAAGGAAUAAGUCUCCUCAUAAGGUCCCUUUUAGGUUAGAAACCUUUUGGUGCAAACACCCAAAAUUUCAAUCCAUUAUAAAUAUAAUUGGAAUGAUAGUGACUACUUUAGAUCUAGCUUCAACUUUAUUGACAAGGUUAAAUCUUGGAAGGACAACACCUUUGGCUGUAUCAUUAGAAAGAAGAGAAAACUCUUAGCUAGACUCUAAGGCAUCCAAUCUUCAAAUAGCUAUGCUACUAGCUCUUUUCUUAAAAAAUUAGAAUUAGAUCUUCAACAUGUGUUCAAUGAUAUUCAAAAAAGAGAAGAGGAUGAAAACUGAAAUCCAGAAUAAUGUGGCUUAAUGAUGGAGACAUCAAUACAAAAUUCUUACACAUCUCUACCACUAAUAGAAAAAGAAGAAACAAAAUUACUUUCUUCAAACAUAAAGCUGGUAAUUGGAUAAAUGAUCAUAAUCUUAUCUUAUCUCAUGUCCAAAAUUACUUUAUCUCUGCAUUUACCUCUUCUCAUACUAACUCUUCCUGGACUAACUCCCUAAAUACUCAAUCCAGUUGCAAUAGGAUUAACCUAGAUUAUAUAGACACCCCCCUCCUUGAUAAGGAGAUUAAAAUUGCAGUCUUCUCAUUCAAACCAUUCAAUUCUCCCGGGCUAGAUGGAUUACGCCCAUUCUUCUUCCAAAAAUAUUGGUUCCAUAUAGGGGAUUCUUCCAAGAAACUCUGUCGUGCUAUCUUGAACAACUAGAUAGUCCCUCCGGAUAUUAAUAAAGCAUUUCUACGCCUCAUUCCUAAAAUCCAUAAUGCUAAUAACAUUAAAAACUUCAGACCAAUUGGCUUAUGCAACACUAUCUAAAAUAUAAUCACCAAGAUUCUAGCCAAUCGUCUUAAACCUUUCCUAGAUCAACUGAUCAGCCCAUAUCAGACUAGCUCUAUGAAAAAUAGAAGAGCAUCUGAUAAUAUUAUCAUCAUCCAGGAAAUGAUUUCAAAGUUCAAUAAACUAAAGGGCAAGCAAAGGCCAUAUGAUUCUGAAAAUUGGCUUGGAAAAGGCUUUUGAUCGUCUUGAAUGGUCUUUAUUCGUCACACCGUGGAUAUUUUUAACUUUCCUCCAAAAUUCUCUAAAUUAUUGUUGAAUUGCAUUUCUACCAGUAAAAUAGCAAUCUUAGUCAACGGAGCUAUUACGAAUUACUUUCAACCAAGUAGAGGCAUUAGACAAGGCGACCUCAUCUCCCCCUACAUUUUUAUCCUCUGCCUAGGAAUGCUUACCGGAUACAUAGAACACCAAGUGGACAUAAAAAAUUGGGACCCCAUAGCCCUAGGUUAUAAAUGUCUAAAAACUUUCCACUUAUUAUUUGUUGACGACCUUCCUCUAAUGGCUAGAGCCAAUGCUAAAUCUUGUCAGGACAUAAAAAAUGGGCUUGUCCAAUUUUGCUCUCUAUCAGGUCAAAGCAUCAACACUAUUAAAUCAAAGAUCCGUUUUUCAGAAAAUUGCAACCACUCAAUGACCAGUGACAUUACCACUUCAUUAGGUAUUAAGAGGAGUAACAAUUUUGGCAUAUACCUUGGUUUCCCUAUCCUCCACUAUAGCCCAAAACCUAGGGAUUACCAAUUCCUUAUUGAUAAGAUGAGAACCAAACUUGCAUCCUGGAAAAUAAAAUUCUUUAGCUUGGCAGGAAGAACAACACUAGUGACAUCAUGCCUUAAUUCCAUCCCAAACCAUUACAUGUAAUACACCCUCCUUCCUAGAAAAAAACCCUAAAAGAGAUUGAUAAAGUCCAAAGGGACUUCAUCUAGGGUAGUACUGUAGAGAACAUAAAACUUCACUUGGUAAAUUGGACAAUUAUAUGCCAACCCAAAAAAUAUUAUGGAUUAGAGAUCCAUAAUGCCCCAAAUAAAAAUCUUUCUGUUCUGGCUAGUUUAAGUUGGAGACUCCUUACAAAUGUUCUAGCUCUUUCGCAAAGCUUAUCAUCUCCUUGCAAUAGCUCCUUUGCAAAUAGAUCCUCCUUCCUUUUGAAAAGCAUCUUCAGAAGGUGGGACAUCUGCUCCAAGGGCAUCAUAUGGUUCCCCCACAUCCAUUCCAACCUUCAUGUAUGGGAAGCCAAUUGGAUUCCAAAUAUUGGUAAUCUAUGAGACCUAGUUACAGGACCUCCCUCAGCUAAAUACUUCUCCACCAAAAUUAGAGAUAUCUUUGAUGGUACCAAUUGGAACUUAAACUGUUUAACCUUCUCUCCCCCUCAAAAUUUGUUAGCUACCAUCUCCAAAACAAAAAUCCGCCAAAAGGGCCCGGCAUUUGACUUACCUAUUUGGUCUCUCACAACUAAGGGAAUCUUUACUACCACCUCUUGCUAUAUACAGCUAGAUAUUCCUACUAAUACCAACUCCGAUUUGAGUGGAUUUGGAAAUUGAAUUGCCCCAAUAAAAUCAGGUUUUUCCGAUCGCAAUGCUUUCAUAAUCGAAUCCCUUGCAGAAAGUACAUUUCACAUAUUGGACUAAAUAUUGAUUGAAACUGUCCAAUCUGUAGAAAUCCUAUUGAAGAGUCAAUAGAACAUAUCUCCCUUAACUGUAAAGUUGUUAGUAACCUCUGGAGCAAGCUUCAAACGAACAAUCUUGUUAAUACAAAUGCGAAACACUAGCUUCUACAAAUAAGGGACUUCAAUUCUCCUAUCAAACAUGACCUUAUAAACUGGAACAAUUUCUUUCCUUUCAUCAUUUGGUAUAUCAGGAUUAAUAGAAAUAUCAACAACAUUAAUAGCACUGCCAACCAAACUACAGGAUCCCAAAUCUUGCAAAGGGAGGUGAAAUUUAAACUGUUCACGGAAAGAAACUCUAUUAAUCCUCCCUAAUGUCUUAUAAAACUCAACUGGUUCAAACCCCCUAGAGGGUGGUAUAAACUGAAUGUGGAUGCCAGUUUUUAUAACAAUAACUAACGUUGUGGUUUAGGUGGUAUUUUUAGAAAUGCAACAGGCAGUUGGGUGGUUGGUUUUUCUAAACUAUCACAUGCAAAUGGCUUACUAGCAGCUAAACUAAAAGCUCUAAGAGAAGGUCUAAGAACGGCAAAAGAGUGGAAUCUCUUCCCACUUGAGAAUGAGACGGAUUGCUCAAAGGUUAUCCAAGCAAUACAAGACGGUAAUAAAUUACUUAAUAAAUUUAUCAAUGAUUGCAGGGCCUAAAUGCACCAGCAGAGGGUUACUCUCUAACACACUUUCAGGCAGGGGAAUAGGACUGCCCAUUGGCUAGCAAAAAGAGUUCUAAAAAGGGACAACCAAGCUCUUGGAGUGGCAGAAAGAAGUAAAGCAGUAAAGAGCAGUAAAAAGUUUUUCUUGUACCACCUUUUGAUGUAAUAGAUUUUGUAGAAAGUGAUAGACUUGAAUCUACCUCCAAUGAAAAUCUUCUACGUAAUGAAGCUUGUAACCUACUAGAAAGCUUAGGAAACUAAUGCAUUAAGCAUGAUGCAAGUUAUAUCGACUAUGUACUAGAUGUUACUUAGUUAUUAAUAUAUAUAUUUUUUGUUUGCUAAAAAAAAAAGAUCUUCUAGUAUCUCUUGAUUUCUCUCAACAAGUAAAAAUAGUGUAGUUAAAUCUAUUCCUCUGGCCUGUUCAACAAUGUCAAGAUCUUACAUUUUUUUACUCUUCUUGUUUGGAUCCUCUAAAAGGCUAGAAUAACAUAUCAAAUUGAUUUUAUAUAUGAUUACUCAACUUUAAUUUUGUUACACUAAAACUAUAACAAAAAUUCUACCGAGGAAAAAUUACUCGACUUUAUCUAAGAUAAAUAAUUAUGUAGCUUACCGCCCUUUAAGCUGACUAUUGUCAUGGAAAAAGAGUUUGUUUUCUAUCAAAAAAGUAUGCUUAACACUGCAUGUAUAUACGACUGUAAAGAAAAACAAAGAAUUUGUACUCCCAAUACAUGUUGCAUGUGUAUAGUCUCAUAAAAUGAAAAUCUCUAUGUCUAAUUUGAAUUGAUCUCAAUGGAUACCUCGUAAUUGCCUAGAAGAGAAGAAUAGGCAGGGAUGAUAAGAUUUGAACCCCUGACAUUUUUUACUCAAGAAAAAGGCGCUAUCAAUCUGUGCUAUAUCCCUUUCAAUUGGUCUACAAUAAUAUUAUUCUAUAACAAAAAGAUCACUCAAUCUGCCUAGAUACCAUAUAAAUAAGAAAUAACAACAAUAACAUCAAUCACAAACUCAAUGAAUUUCCAUAAGUGAAAUGUGAGAAAGAUAGUUUAUACGUGAACCUUUGCCCUAUUGUGAAGGACAAAGAAUUUAUUUUCAAUAAACUCUCGACUAAAAACAAGAAAAGAAGGAAUAAUAACAAAAUACAUUUUUUCGCAAUUAUUUUAUGCGAAUAAUUUCUGACAAACUAUAGUAAGUGCUUAUAUAUUUCUACAAACUAUACCAAUCUCUUUCUCUCAGCUUCGCACUCUCUACUCACCAUUAACGGUCAUCUUCCUCCUCAUCUCCCUUGCGCUACCAUCGACAGUCAUCGAAAUUACAAUCAAGUGUCUUUCAGAAUAUCUUUUUAUUUUUUCGGGAUAAAGGUAAUAUUUGCAUAUACAUUAUUUUUUCAGACCCCACUAAUAGGAUUUAGUAAAUUGUUAUUGUUGUUGUUACUAAGUACUUAUUUAUUAUAAGAACACUUCAAUAGAAGUCCGAUUCUAGAGAACAUUUAUUCUAUCUGUUGAAAUUAUACAUUUAUUCGUUUAACAGAAACUACAUAUAGUAAAAUUACUACAGAUAUUCGACAUGAAGCAGAAACUUAAACCACAGCAACACACACCUACAAUAUUACCCUAUUUUCAGCUGCUUCAAACGAUUUUUCUAAGCAAUGCCCAAACGUUGUUUCAUCUGCAGAGCGAAGUCGUAAACCUUGUCUGAUUCAGCAAGAGAUUUGGCUACACUCUCUUUUUGCACACAUCUCUUGGCCCAUGCCACCAAUUUUGGACACUUUGCCUCUAUGUUAAAAUUUCCACAUUUUUCAUAAGUAGGGAACCAACUAUAAAAAGGAACUAAUGCGACAUCCAAAAAUCCAAAGCUUUCCCCACCAAAGUAUGGCUUCUCUCCCAACUCUCCUUCUAACAAUUUUAGGCACUCUAUGAAUUCUUUCUUGGCUGCUUCUUGCUCCUCCCCUUUUGUAGUCCAUAUUCUCCUUCCACUAUCAUAUAGCUGCAUUUACCCCAAAAAAAAGAAAAUCAUUGUCACAACAUCAUAGUUAAAUUUCUAGAAAUUUAACCUUUAAAUAGGUGUAUUUGAAGUUGAAGUUGAAAAAAAUUAUAUAUAUAUAUAUAUAUAUAUAUAUAUAUAUAUAUAUAUACGUUAUAUACAAAAGUAUACUACAUUUUUUCCUCAGAAGUAAUUCAGGUUAAGGAACCAAAUAAUUUCAUAUUAUUAUUAUUAAUGUGUGGUGUAUAUUAUAACUAACAUCAUAAUGCAUUAAGAUGAUUUUUCAAAAGUUGAGAAAGUAAGUUAGUUUCUCUAACAUGAGGGGGAGACAUGAUUAAUAGUUGAGAAAAUAUUACGUGGAAUGAAUUAUCACUUCUACAUCUAGAUCCUAGAAUAAGAUAAUAUGAACUUGAAGUUCAUAAAAGAUAAUAAGCAUGCCAGACGCAUUUGCUAACCCAAAGAAAUUAACCAUAUUCUCAAUGAAAAUGCUCAUAUUAGUAUUAGCCCUAGAAGGACAAAAUCUAUUGUACUCUUAAAACUUAUAAAAAAUUGGUUUCAAAUAAAUUUCUUGAUAAAAAAAAUGAGCAAAUGAUCAAAAUUACCAUAAUAAAGGAGGUAAGGGAUCUAGAAGAUCAUAUGACAUAACACUUCAUAGAAUCUAAUGAGAGAUCCAGGGACCUGAAUAUAUGGCCUGGGAAAAGAAAACUACUAUAUGACCUGUUAAACUAAAAUUAGUAUUCCUCAUGUUUUAUUUUGUGAAUGUUUUUGACUGACCAUAAGUUGCAAGAAAAUAAGAAAAAAAUUAAAAUUUAUGAUUUCAAAUAUAUUUUAAUAUUCUUGCUAUUAUAAAAUUAUGUUAUUAAAAAUAAUAAAAUUAAGUUGUUAUCGAAUAUUAACGAUGGAACAUAUUAAAAGUGUUUUAUAAAUAUAAGAGACGUAGCAAUUUAUAAUGAUAUAUUAUAUUUAUGCGGGCCACUAAGUCAAAUCCUUUUAUACUCCCUUGUUUCAAUUUAUGCAUUUUUUAAAUUUAUUUAAAAAAAUACUUCUUUAUAUAUUUAAUUUGUAAUUUUUGAAUUUUUACUUUUCACAUAUCAUAUUUAAGAUCACAAGAUUUAAAAAUAUUUUAAUAUAUUAUAUAUAUUUUUUAGUUUAAGACCACGUAAUUUUUUUUUAAAAAAUUAUAUUUUCUUAAACUUCGUAUUGACACAUAAAUAAAAACGAUUUCUUAUAACUUUUUUAAACUUUGUAUUAGUUAAACUAAGACAUAUAAAUAAAAACAGAGAAUAUUACCUUUUUGUCAAUAAAAUCAGCCCAGAACCUAGCUUGAGCUCUCUUAUAAGGAUGAGUGGGCAUCAAAGGGGAUUUAUCCUUCCAAACCUCAUCUAUAUAUUGAACUAUAAUUAAGGACUCACAAACUGGUUUUCCAUUAUGGAUCAACACUGGGAUUUUCUUAUGAAUUGGGUUCAUUUGUAGUAGAAGUGAACUUUUGUUACUCAAAUCUUGCUCCUUGUAUUCAUACUGAAUACCCUUUUCAGCUAGUGCAAUUCUUACCCUCAUCCCAAACAUACUCACAUAGGAAUCCAAAAGAACAAUUUCUCCACCCAUUUUUGUUCAAAAUUUAUGGUUGGAAAUGGAACUGAGUUAUUGAAAUAUAUGUAACCAAAAUAUAUGAAUACUAAAGUUGAAAAUAAAUUACUAAGUGAUGGAUGACUAUAAAUAGAAUGAUGGUGUCAUAGGUUGGUCAUUGGUGAGACUGUAUUGCGAGAAAGUGGUGGAUGGUUCGGUUAGAAGAAAUUCAAGAAUGUCCCAAAUCUUUCUGGGAACUUCUCUUUCAAUAUUGUUAAUCCGGAAGGGAGAAAAUAAAUUCAAUUGAUGUCACUAUCCUAAAAUAUAUGCCGUGUCUUUUUAGAACUUUCACGACAUAAAUAAGAAUUGUUUAUAAUUUAAGAAAAUUUGAUUUAUUAUUUCCUCAACAUUUUUUAAUGUGUUGUCAAUAAUUUCUUUUGAUUUCAUUUACCACGUAAACUUUGUUAGCGUACGGCCUAUAAUGAUAGAUAAACCCUUGGGAAGGGAAUAACUAGAAAUGGUUGCUAAUACCCCGUAAGCUGAGAAGCAAAAGGAGAGAUCCGUCCGAGGAGGGGCUUCAAUCUGAUUAGCAAGUUGUUGAGACAACAUCUUACUAAAGGAAUAAUCAGUAGCUAGCCUAAGAGGAUGAUCAACCAGUUGUUAACAGUAAAAUUCGAGAAAAAGAGUUGAUGGUAUGAAAAAUUCUUCGAGAAGUUAUGUAGGGAUAUUCUAUAUUGUUGAAUAGAGCACUCACUCUGCAUAAAUUAGGCAUACAGGAAUUUCAGCAAUAUAAAACAAUCAAACUUCUUUAAAAUAAUCUUAUUUAUUCCGAUAUUUUUUGGCUAUUGUAGAACAAUAAUGUUAUAAAAAAUAUAAUUACUAUAGAGAGGUCUAAGUGUAUUACCUUUUUGAGAUUAAUGUGAUUUUGUAAAAUUGAUAUUGAUAUGCUCAUGAUACCUGGGAAACUGAUCUUGAUGCGCUUAUUUCUUCCAUUAAGGACUAGUUAAAAGGUGAGAUUAAUAUCACAAGUAAUUUAACUCAAUUAAUUAUAUACUAAUUCUUAUCUAGAAUAGAUAAGAUGGAAUGAGUUUGUGUAAUGUAAUAUGCAAGAUAAGACUAUUCUUCAAGCAUUAUUAGACAUAACUUUGCAAUGGAUUCCAUAUCAUAUGCGCAAGAACAUUGGAAAAUACGGUAUGACAUGAAUGUAAACUCACAAAUGGGAAAAAACAUAUUUAGGGCGUGUCCUCAUGAUCGAUGAAGUUAGUGAAAAAUAUGGGAUACAAAAUUUAACUUUUAGCACAGACAAAAAAAUGUUUAUUUUUUUAAUCUGUUUAAGCUUUUGUAAGCAAAGUUACUCAAUAUUUGUAUUGGUAAAAAAUAUAUAACAAGUCUGAGAUACAAUAAUUAUGAUGUGCACAAGUUGAAUCACACGUCAACAUUAUGAAAAUAAUCUUAAUGCAAAAUAUCUAUUUUCUUUCCCCACCCCACCCUCAAUUGAUGUUCCAAGACAACUAAAAAAAUUAGAAUGAUCCAACAGAAAUUAAACUUAAAUAACCAGUAAAACUAAAAGUCGUAAUAUACAGAUUAUUUAGAUGCUUGUCGCCGAUUGUAUUAUACGUAUUGUUACUUUAAAUAUAAUGUUUGUUUGAUUGUUAUUUAAAUUUUAUUAUAUUGUAUUAUAUCGUUAAAUAUGUUGUUACGUAAUGAAAAAAGUAUCACUUUACGUAACGACUAAUUUGGUGUGGUCGUGUCGUUACCUUAUUUUUCUUUCUCAUCUCGCCCUCAUUGUUAAUAAAUAAUUUUAUUUUAUUAUUUUCCCUAUCUUUUUAUAUAACAAUUCUACCUCUUAGCAUAAUUUUUUUAUAAUAUUGUAAGUUUAUUCCUCAUAUUGCUGGUGUGUUGUGAUAUCAUGAAACAAUGACAAAUGAUAUAGUCUAUUAAAUUAUUAUAUCAUCAAACGAUACAGUACAAUACAAUACAAUAUAAUACGAUACAUUAUGAAAUGUUACGUAACAAUCCUCGAAAGAGUCCCAUCUACUUAAGCAUGUAUUCGACCUCUCUUGAAUUCCACAUAAGCUUGAUCAACUUGCUCUGAACUAGGUAGAGACUUAGACAUAGAGUCUCUAUUCAAACAUCUGUUGCCCCACAUCACUAGCUUUGCACAUUAUGUUUCUAAGUUAAAGUUAGCAAAUUUCUUGAAAAUAAUGAACCAAUUAUUGUAACGACCUGACUGGUCGUUUUGAGCUCUAGCGCGUCGUUCAACAGUCUAAGGUUAUGAGCAGCUUCAUUUUAGGUGUUAUGACUCGCGCAUGGUCAAAAUUGAAUUUCGAGAAGUUCAGCGUUGAUUUGGAGAGACAAUUCUCAUUUCGGAAGCUUUAAGUUGAAAGAAUUAUCUAGGAUUGGACUUUAGAGUGAACAAUCUUUGAAUCGGGAUCUAAAGGUUUCAGCAGGUCCAUAUGAUGAUUUCGGACUUUGGUGUAUGUCGGGAUCAGGUUUUUGAUGACCCGGGAGCAUUUUGGCGCAUAUUAUGAAAGUUAGCAUUUUGAAAGGAUUUUUAUAAGUUUGGCUUGAAGUGCAUUUCAAUGUUAUCGAUGCUCGUUUGGGAUUCCGAGUCUGUGAAUAGCUCUGUAUGAUAAUUUUGGAGUUGGGAGCGCGAUCGGAAGUGAAUUCGGAGGCCCAUAGGUCAUUUUGGAGUCAUUUGGCUAAAGAUAGAAAUUUGACGGUUUUUAAGGAGUUUAACCGGAAGUGGAAUAUUUGAUAUCAAGGCUGGAAUCCAAUUCCGGAAGUGGCAGUAGGUCCGUAAUGUCAAAUAUGAUUUGUCUGUAAAUUUGAAGUUAAUCGGACGUGAUUUGAUAGGUUUAAACAUCAAAAAUAAAAGUUGAAAUUCUAAAGUUUAUUAACGUUGGAUUGGAGGUCGAUUCAUGAUUUUAAUAUUGUUUGAUGUGAUUUGAGGCCUCGAGAAAGUCCAUAAUGUGUUUUGGGACUGGUUGGUAUGAUUAGUUGGGGUCCCGAGGGUCUCAGGUGGAUUUCGGGUGGUUAACGAAUUGAAAUUGGGUAAAAAGCUAUAGUUGGUUGCUGGUAUCUGGUUUUCUUCUUCUCGAACGCGAAUCAAGUCUCGAAAACGUGAAGAGGAAAAUGAGAAGCUAUUUGUUUUGUCCUUCACGAACGCGAGGUUGAAGUCGCGAACGCGAAGGGGUGGAUUGAGCUGCUAUGCAAAUGCGGGGGAUAGAUCGCAAACGCGUAGAAGGAAAGGAUGGGCCUGGGUCUUUGGCCUAAGAAAACGCGAGGCUAGGCACGUGAACACGUAGGGGCUGGGUAGCUGGUCUUCGCAAAUGCGAUAGACGGGCCGCGAAAGCAAAGAAGGGCGGACCAGGGCUAGGCAGAAUGUUUAAAAUCGAGUUUUAGCUCAUUUUUCACUUCAUUUCUUCCAUGGGAGCCGAUUUUAGAGCAACUUCAGAGUGUCAUUUUCAUCUCCAAGCAUGAGGUAAGUGAUUUCUACUGGUUUUGAGUUAAAUACCAGGUUUAUAUAUGGUUUUAGACAUGAAAUUUGUAGAAAACUUGGGAUUUAAGGAAGACCUAAAAAAUUAGUAUUUUGGAUUUUUGACAAUAAUUUUGGGUAUGGAAUUAAGAGAAAAUCAUAUAUUUGAGUUCGUAAGUUCGUGAGUGAACUUUGUCUUCGAAAAAUUUUAGAUUCAGGGCACGUGGGCCCGAUGGCGUUUUUGUUAAUUUUUUGAUCGGGCCUAGGAAUUUCUAUAAAUUGGAUUGUAAUGAGUAGUUGAGUAUAUAUUAAUGGAUUUGUAUAAUCAUUGGAUAGUUUAGGAGAGUUGUGCAUCAACUAGAGUCUUCGGAAGGGCAUGGAAUGCCAGUUAUGGAUCUUUGGAGCGAGGUGAGUCUCCUUUCUAAUCUUGUAAGAGGAAAUUGUCCCCGUAUGUGAAAUAAUUAGUUAUGUGCUCCUAAUUGGGGGCUAUGUACGCACGAGGUGACGAGAGUCGGUGCAUAGCUACUAUUAUGCUAUUGUACGGGUUAGGACCCAAAAGCAUGUUAUACUUGGAUUAGUUGUAAACUUAUUGGUAGCUUGAAUUGCGUAAAUCACAUCAAAUUAGUAAAUGAAUUUCUAAUAGGAUUUAAACUUCAUUUUCUUAAUUUAUUAAAUGAGAAUUGGAUUUUCUUCAGAAAAUUUUUCCAUGUUGACUUCUUGAUUGACUACCUGUCGGCAUAUACUUUUGGAGCGGGCCGAACGCCUCAACAGAUUAAAUAGAUGUAUCUAUGAAUCGCGUCAUUCGGCCCUCGGCAGUGCACAGUUUUUUUUCUGUUGGAGGGGGCCGUCGACCUCGGCAUGAUUUGCGCAUGCUUGUAUUGCUGCCUUAAAUUUAUUAAAUUUGUUAUUGCCUCUUCAUGGCUUGAAAAUAUAUGGAUAAAAAUGAAUAAAAAUUUGGAAAUUUGCUAUAAAUGAAUUAAUUAUUUACUUGUUUCCUUCUAUUGGAUUAAAAUCAUGAUUAUAGAAAUCUAUGAUCAAAUGUAUUAUUGACAUCAAAUUAUUAGACCCUUAGUAAGUGUCGAAGUCGACCUCUCGUCUCUACUUCUUUGAGAUUAGACGGGAUACUNNNNNNNNNNNNNNNNNNNNNNNNNNNNNNNNNNNNNNNNNNNNNNNNNNNNNNNNNNNNNNNNNNNNNNNNNNNNNNNNNNNGGGAUACUCAUUGGGUACACGUUGUUUUCGUACUCAUACUACACUUCUGUGCAUUUUUGUUGCACAGGUUCAUGUGUUAUUAGUGGCCUAUUGGGCAUAGCAGCACGGAUGAUUUGAGGAUUGGGUGAGUUCAUUGUUCGAGGCAGCCCGCAGCUAGUAUUGUCCCUUUCCAGCAUAAUAUAUUUACUUUCUGUCCACUGUAUUCCGGACGGAUAUUGUAUUUUAUUUCUGUCUUAGUAAAUGCUCAUGCACUUGUGACACCGGGUUCUGGGAUGAUUUUGAAAUAUUUUGUAUUAGUUGCCUAUUAUUUAAUUUGAAUUGAAGCGGUUAUCUUUCUUUUUAUUUAUAAAAAUUGAACGAAAAGCUUAGUUUUCAAGAUUGUUAAAAGUAGAACUUCAAUAAGUAAUUUGAUUGGCUUGCCUGACUGCGGUAUUCGGCACCACCACGACCCUUAGUGGAUUUUGAAUCGUGACAAUAUGGUAUCAGAGCACUAGGUUCCUAGGGUCUCACGAGUCAUGAUCAAGUCUAGUAGAGUCUCACUGAUCGGUACAGAGACGUGUAUACUUAUCCUCGGUUGGUUGCAGGACUGUUAUGAGUACUUCCCUUAUUGAUUCCUUAUCGUGCGAUUUGAUUCCUCGAGGCUUAUGCCUUUGUUUCUUUCCUACUCAAUCUUAUGCGAUGCAAAUCGCUUGUUAUAAAUUAAGAAUUGAAGAAUUGUAAAUGGUACUACAGAUAUGGUGCGGGAUGUUACUCCCGAUAUAGUUGAUCGGACUAUUAUCGUCGCUUGACCGCUUGUUAUAAAUUGAGACUUGAAUAAUUAUAAAUAGUACUACAGAUGUGGUGCGGGGUGUUUCUCCCAGUAUAGUUGAUCGGACUAUUAUCGUUUCUUUGUGGAAGGAUAUUCUGUCGUUUCAGCUCAGUAGCGGUACCUCUGAGAGAUUUGUGGCUAGGCGCACGAUGCAUGAUUCUUAUGAACGAUUGUUCCGCAAUAUUGAUGUGAUGGUGAGAUAGUAUUAAAGAAGCAAUUGUUAGAGAUCACGUGGUGCGGUAGUUCAGGGAUAAAUUAGUGUUUCCAAUGUCGGCGGUAUGAGAAAGAUGAUCUUCCGAAAGGUGUAAAGUUAGUAGCAAUCGUGGGUUCAUGCGCCAUGAAGAUAGAUUUUAUUUAAGGCAACAAAUGAACAACAAAGGACGAGAAAGGCCAUGUGGAAGAAGUUAGUCGAGGUUCAAAAUUUUUAAAAGGCCAGGUAUAUGAAGCGAAAGUCGAGUAAUUGAUUAAGGAAGCGGAUUUACCCCAACUGGGGGAGUGACGGAUUUGCAUAUGGUCCUUGUAGUAGGAUGACCACGUACCUUAAGGAGAGUUCGGAGGGAUUGCAGAAUAUUAGUGAUUGGUGAUUAGGGUCUACGGAUUUAAUCUAAUGCAUGGGCUAUUAUACGGCAAAAGACUUUGUAUAACCGAAAGGAACUGCUUGAAAUGAAGAAGGAUACAACAUAACUUGAAUGGGAAAGAUUUUGCCGCACGUUUAAUUGAUGUCCACGAGGGGUGAACGGACUUAUGCAUCUAGAGGUUUAGCUUAGACUCAGGAUGGAUUAUUAAUGACAUAGUGAUUUUACUCUGUGCAGCAGUGUUGGAAGAUGUCGGAAGGUUAUUUCCAUAGAUGGGUUAUUCCUAGUGAGUAGGUUAGCGGUCGCAUGGUUGGCGAAGCUUCCCUAAAGAAUUCUAUUGGCUAUUCAACAAAGAGAUAGGUUUUACUAAUGUGCUAGAUGAUUUAGAAUAUAAAAAGGGGGUUUUACAGAAAUAUUUCGAGAAUUUUGGUGGUUGAUUGCACAUGGUUGUGUCAAUAAGAGAUUAAGAAUUCUAGAGAACUCCAGAGUUAUGUGAUAAAUGGCUUCAAGCCAAGUAGGAGAGUCUCACCACCUACGAUUGGGUUGCACGGUUAUCUUCUUGUGAGGUUUCGGGUUAUCGACGUAUUGGUAGUUGUUUUAGCAACGGGAAAAGAGCAUAAUUGGUAAUUUGAGCAAAGGUAUUAUUAAAGGUGGGUUAUGGUUGGCCUUACUGGCUCAUGUUCAGACAUGGGGAGUAAUUCUGUCGGGUGUUGUGUCGAGAAGGUAUACUUAUGCUAGAAGAAUCAUGGAGUUGAUUAUAUUCGGGCCAAGUCAGAGCGGGUGGCUAUCAACAACGGUCCUAGAGAAUUCAAAGAUAAGGUUUGAUGCCUAACAAUUUUGAGCCUAUAGGUGCGGCUGAAAAAUCAAGCUCUUGUAGCAGUUUAUGAGGAGAGACCCAGAAUGUCCUAAGAUGUUUUGACCGCAGUGUAGCGCGUGGGAGGUACGAAAUGGUUCGUGGGAUUUGAGACCGCAUGGUCUUGUGAUGCUAGGUCACUCGGGAUAAGUACAAAUGGAGGGUGUUAGGUGUUGAAUGGAGUUAUUAUUAUUUCUAAGGUAAUCAAGGAUAAAUUGGAAGGAGCUAGAUUGGAUAGCCAUAGUUGAAUUGGCAUAUUGGUGGUAGUGAUCAGUUCCUUCACUGUGAUUAAGUUGUGCAAGUGAUUCGUAACGGUGCAUGUGAGGCUUGUUAGCCGCCGCAACUGGUGUUAAUCAGAAUAUUCGAGUGUUGUGGCAUGUUAAGUGGAGACGGGUCCCGGAAGGGCUAUGGUGGAUUAGACAACUACUUAGAGGUUUGCAUGUUCUACUGUUAUGAGAAUUCACCUGCGUGUUACUAUGGUUCUCCUAAAGUGAGUUAAGUGGAAAAUUUUAUAUGAUGAAGUGUUAGCCUAAUAGUGGUUCCGAAGUAUGAUGAAAAAUGUGUUCUCACGUAUGUUGGCAUGUUAGGUGCAGUGAGUGGUAUGCAAUUUGAAGUAUAAAUCAAGGUAACAGCUCGGAGUGGACAAGGAUGUUGCGAGCUCAGAUGAGCAGGGUAGAAGUUUCGAUGUUUAAGGUAAGUUGGUAUUGCCUUCAGCAUUACCGGAGAUCGGUGUUUUGUGGAAAAGGCCUUGCAUCCUGGUUAAUGAUUCUCGAUCGCUCUUCAGUAUUAGCGCGGCCGGUGGUUUGGAGGAAUAACUUAGUUAUUUGUAGGCUGUGGGAGUGUGUCCCACAGGAAGAUUGUAUAAGUGUGGCAGGUAGUCACUUGAUGAUUAAAGACUUAAACCAAGUAUGAAGGUUGUGAUAAUAUCGUUGAUUUGAGAAUAUAUGCUUGGAGGGUACUCUGUCUAUUAAGUUAUGGACUGUGGAGGAUUUCUCCGGUUAUGAUGGUUGUUCUUAUGCGUAUGACUGAAAUGAGAGUUAUUGUGAACCUUAGAAAGGUUAUUAGCCUAGUCAAUGUGACCAGAAUCAACUUGAGGUCGAUGGAUGGAUUCAAAUGUGAAUACGGGCUCUAUAUCAGGCCAGAUAUGUUCAUUUUAGCAAUGCGCUCCUUAUAAAAGAAUAGUCAGGGUGUUAUUUCGUUCCCAGCUAUUUCAUGUAGUGAUAUAUUGCGCCGUAUGGGUUUUGAGAUGGCUUGGUAAAUUCCUUAUGCGUUGAGGUUCCACGUAGUGUUGAUGUUAUGUGAGCAGGAUGGCUCUUGAGAUUCAGAUCGUAUAUCGCACCUCAGUUGUGCUUGCGUUUCGUAGCUUAUAGCAUUAUAUGUUCCCUCAAGGAUGGUGUUAUGCGCUUAGCGUGCUCGUGGCCAAAAUUUGGUAUUUUAUUGUAAUAAGAAAUUUAGCUCGAUGUGCAUCUCCUUGGCACGGCGCCAUGGGCAUGUUAUUUGGAUCGGGUGGCACACCUACAUGGUUAUGUUAUUUGGAUUGGGUGGCACGCCUCCAUGGCUAUGUUGUGUAGAUCACGUUGCGCGCUACAACAGUACAGUUUUAUCCGCGAGCUAAGCCUUACUUUCAUCAUUGUUGAGCAUCCUUGAGAGCUUUUCGACGGGAAUUGAAGAAGGUGUCGACUUAGAGUGAUUGGAGGUAAGUCCUAUGAACUAAAAACACGAUUUUAUUGUAAAAUUAACCUUGAAAUCCAUGUAAACUUAGCAAAACGGGGAAGAACUAGGACUUGAGUUUUGAUAUUUCAAAUUUUGAUUUGAGGAGUCAUUUGGACUCCGAUUUUAGUGUUCUUUAUAUGUAUAGACUCAUGGCGAGAUAAGGAACCCAUUGAUAUAAGAAUUUCUGAGUUUCAAGCAGUAGGCUCUGGGCUCGGGUUUUGCCAAUUUCGAGAUUUUUAAUAUUUUUCGAUUGUUUUCGAUUAGGUAUUGUUCCAUUGGCAUAUUGUGAUGUAUUCGUUGUGGUUUUGGUAAGAUUUGACGUGCGAGGAGGCCGAAUUGAGGGGCAAUGGCGUCGCGAGCUAGGGAUUUCACCGAUGCGAGGUUAACUGUAAAUGAUAUUUUUAUAUGUUUUGUUUCUUAUUUUCUGAGGAAGCGCAUAUUAGCAUGUUGACUGCGUCGCAUGUAUGAUUCGCGAGCGGGGUAAUUGAAGUUCCUUUCCAGAGUUCGUUUUCCUUUUGUAGCACAUUAGAAUUGAUAGCCUAUAGGAACAUUGUGGCAUCAUGUGAGACUUUUGAUUAGGUCCAGGUUGGCUUAUUGCCGGAGCAGUUCGUACUGAGUGAAAUGAGAUUAUUUGGGUUUAGGAUCAGUGCAAUAUGAUUACAUGAAUUAUAGUAAGGAUUAAAGACCGUUAUUUAGUUCAGAAUGAGGUAAUGGUUCUUGUCAGAAGUAUAGACACAAUGAUUGGUUGUCUCGCCAGUUGGUUAUGAAUUUUUACACCUCGUUUGUCGCGGCAGUGUUGUAAGAGCUAGAGCAAGACCUGGGUAUGUUGUGAGGUGAUGAGAGCAUCAGACUCAUGGAAUUUUGAGUAAUUUGAUUAGAGAAUGUUAUUCUGAUCCUUGAGUAAAGUAGUGCAAGGUGUGAAUUCAGCAAAGGUUUGCAGUCGUGUUUGGGGUUCAGCAUAUAGUGAUUGAUAUGGUGAUCGUACGUUGGGAUUAGUUCUAGCAGAGAAUUUCGGAUGUUGGAAUUGGGCUCUAAGGCUUAUCAGCUUAAGCAAAAAAGGAUAUCUUCAGAUUGAUCAGGCUAAUGUGCUCGACUGAGUUGGGGUAGCAGAGGAAGGUGCAUGAGGUGUUAAACAGCGAUUUCAGACUACUUCAGUAUAGUUCUCAGCAUGUUUGAGGACGAACAUAUGUUUAAGUGGAGAGAAUGUAACGACCCUGUGAUGACGCGACCCGUCGUCUCAUGAGUUACCACUCUGUUUUCUCUAUCUUCUUCAUUAUCAGUGUCUUGUGUGAACGAGUUGGUUUGGACUGAUUUUAGAAGGAAAUGAGAUACUUAGUCUCUUUAAGGAAAGAUUAGUUUGGAAAAGUCAACCGGAUGUUGACUUAUGCGUUAGAGGGCUCGGAUGUGAUUUUCAGUGAUUCGGCUAGCUUAGGGGUUUGAGGGGUUGUUUGGUUAUUCAAAUCGCAUAGGAGGAUUUGAGGGGUUGUUUGGUUAUUCAAUGUGAUCACAGAGGGAGGCUUGCGAUCGCACAAUGUGAAGUGGAUCUGAGAAUUUAGUAGAAAAUUGUUCACUGUGAUCGCGAGUAUAGGUGUGCGAUCAUAUAUUAAAGAACUUGUGCAUCGCGAUCGCAGGGAUAUAUGUGCGAUCACAUAGGGUAAAAAAUUUGUAGCUGGAAUUUUUUAGCAUUGCGAUCGCAAGCGUGGGGCUGCAAUCGCAUAGAGGAAAAAUGGACCUCAACAGAAGUGUAUUAUAACAUUUUGUUCCGCGAGCCUAAGUUAUUUUCCUCAAUUGUUGGACACCUUGAGAGAUUUUGGACGAGAAUUGAAAAGGGUUUUGACUGGGAGUCAUUGGAGGUAAGUCCUAUAAACUAAAAACAUGAUUUUUUUGUGAAAUUGACCUUUAAAUCCAUGUAAACUUAGCAAAAAGGGGAAGAGCUAGGGCUUGAGUUUUGAUAUUUCAAAUUUGGAUUUGAGAGGUCAUUUGAAUUCCGAUUUUGGUGUACUUUAUAUGUAUAGACUCAUGAAGAGAUAAGUAAAAUAUUAAUGUGAAAAUUUUUUAGAUUCGAGAAGUGGGCUCGUGGCUCGGGUUUUGCCAAUUUCGAGAUUUUUAAUAUUUUUCGAUUGUUUUCGAUUAGGUAUUGUUCCAUUGGCAUAUUGUGAUGUAUUCGUUGUGGUUUUGGUAAGAUUUGACGUGCGAGGAGGCCGAAUUGAGGGGCAAUGGCGUCGCGAGCUAGGGAUUUCACCGAUGCGAGGUUAACUGUAAAUGAUAUUUUGAGGGUUUUACACCCCGUAUUUUCACAUCAUAGUGCUAUAUUGAGGUGAUUUGCACUCCGGAUAGCAAGCGUGGGGUAGAGCACCGUGGGGAUUGUGACUUGGUCCGUCCCGAUAGAAGAAUUUACUGCGUACUUGACUGGAUAUCACCUGUUAUCAUUAUGAUUUGAGCUGAUUGUCAUAUUUGUGUUUCGUGCUGAUUGAUUGAAUCCUUCAGGGAUUGCUAUUACGGGUUUCUUACCAUUUUUUACGUAUUAUUGAACUCAAUCCUGGUAUUUAAUACUAUUUUUCAAACUCAGGCAUAUUUUCUCAAAAAAACUUGAAAUUUAAACAAUAUUUCUAAUUAAGUUUGGGCUGGAUAUUUGUAUAUUAUUGUGCCCGAGGGGCUUAUGUGAUUCUAGACUGAGCAUGGGAUCAGGCACCGCAUCGCAGCAGUAUUAUAUGGAUAUUGAUAUGAGGCCUAUGGCCUAGUUGAUGCCACGAGAUGGCUUAUAUUGUGCUUGGGCAUAAGGGGCCCCUCCCGGAGUCUGCACACCCCCAAUGAGCGCUGUCGAUGAUAAACGGAUCGGGAUGUAUGUCGCACCGAUAUGUGGAGCAGGCUACACGCCGCAGCGGUACUGGUACAAUUUGAUGUGUUUGCAUUAUCUUAUUUGUCGGCUAUUAUCUGUUGUUUUGUGCUGCUUUUUGCAAUAUAGACCUGAUACAAUGGAUUUCCUUGAUAACUAAGUGUCGUGCCUGCGGGGCGGAAAUUCUGUGUUUAUCUGCAAUAUUUGUUUUGUAUUCGUUUGCGUAACCGCUGAAAAAGGACAUUUCAAAAGAGGCUUAAAUUGAGUUAAGACAUUUUUCUAAAGAUUUCACAUAUUCAAAGUUUCAGGGAGUUUUUCCAGAGCUGAAUUGCGCGUGCACUUCUGCCAGAGCAGAAUCACGUGUGUACUUGGUGUAUAACCUCAGCAGUAUCUUCCAUCAGAACCCCAAAUCGGCAACGAAUAUGUCCUUUAGACUUUGCUAGAAAUGGCCGAACACUAAAAAAUAGGUGGAAAACCAGCUUAAGCUGGUUGUACUUUUAAGUUCGUUCAAUUCACACAGGCAGGGUGAUUGAGGUGCGUGCUUCGCAAGUUUUUUACUUUCUUCACACAACAAAACAAAGGCAUGAUAGUACUGUACUCAACUGCUCGUGCCGUAUGGCUCUUCUACAUUAUAUAAUCUAUAAUAUGUUCAUUCAUACCAAUAUACCUGCUAAAAAAAACCAAUAAAUUUUCAACCCCUCUCACAGUCAUCAAACCUGCAACACCAAAUUCCUCUCCGCCCUCUGCUCGGCAACGCAAUUCCCAUGCUCACAGCCAGUUAGAGCAAAAAAAUCCACCCCCGUCUUUCUCUUAAAACUCACCUCAGUCUCGUAAAUGUCCUUCCCAAAUCCUAGCGUAAGGUGUAUGAUCCGCCGAAUCCAUUGCUGACUUCACCACGAUCGAUUAGGUGAAAGGGUUCUGCAAAGUUUGUUUUUUCAUACAGGCAGCGUGGUUAUAGUACUCAUAUUGUGCCAGCCAUGCAAUUCGUACUGCAUUGGCAGAAUUGCUAUACACUCUAUAAAAAGAGGCUCGAUAAGCCUUCGUGCUCUACAAAAAAAAACAAAAAACAACUUCUAUAUAGCAUGCUGAUUUUCCAUAUGUGAUUUCUUACCGCUCAGUUGUUAUUUACCUUUAUUACUCACUAAGUUGGAGUACUCACUUUACUCCCCGCACCUCGUGUGAAAAUGCAGGUAACUAUUCACCCGGUAGCAAGUUUGGGCCAAUCAGAGGCAGAGCUAUAUGAGUUAAGGAGGUGACUGUCGACGUCCGCAGCACCAUUUUCCUCUCUUUUGUUCAUUAUUCUGGUUUUGUAUACUUUAGACUUUGUAGUGGAUUUACAUUCUGAUAGGUGCUCGUGACUUGUGACACCCCGAUUAGGGCUUCGUAGGGUUGUAUUUCCGCUAAUAAAUAUUAUUAAAUCAUAUUUAAACUGUUUAUUUAUGUUUAACUAUUUUGGAAAGACAAGUUGGGUUAGUUGGUUGGCCUCGUCUUCAAGAGAGGCGCCAUCACGACCAGUGCGGGGUUUGGAUCGUGACAGACCCAACUGGUCGUUUUGAGCUCUAGCUUGUCAUUCAGCAGUUUGAGGCCAUGAGCAGCUUCAUUUCAGGUGUAAUGACUCGUACGCGUGGUCAAAAUUGAAUUUCGGGAAGUCCAGAGUUGAUUUGGAGAGAGAAUUCUCAUUUCGGAAGCUUUAAGUUGAAAGAAUUAACUAAGAUUGAAUUUUAGAGUAAACAACCUCAAAACUAGGAUUUGAAGGUUCCAGCAGGUUCAUAUGAUGAUUUUCGGACUUGGGUUUAUUCCCGGAUUGGGUUUUGGAUAACUGGGGAGUGUUUUGGCGCCUAUUGUGGAAGUUAGCAUUUUGGAAGGAUUUUCAUAAGUUUGGCUUGAAGUGCAUUUCAGUGUUAUCGAUGCUCGUUUGGGAUUUUGAGUCUGUGGAUAGCUCAAUAUGGUGAUUUUUGGAGUUGGGAGCGCGAUCGGAAGUGAAUUCAGAGGUCCGUAGGUCAUUUUGGAGUCAUUUGGCUAAAGAUAGAAAUUUGAAGGGUCUGUGAAUAGCUGCAUAUGGUGCUAUUGGAGGUGAGAGCGCGAUCACAUGUGAAUUCAGAUGUCGGUAGGUCAUUUUGGAGUCAUUUGGCUAAAGAUAGUAAUUUGAAGGUUUUUGAGGAGUUUGACCGGCAGUGGACUUUUUGAUAUCGGGGCCGGAAUCCGAUUCCAGAAGUGGCAGUAGGUCCAUAAUAUCAAAUAUGAUUUGUUUGUAAAAUUUGAAGUCAAUCGGACACGAUUUGAUAGGUUUAAACAUCGAAAAUAAAAGUUUGAAAUUCUAAAGUUUAUUAACCUUAGAUUGGAGGUCGAUUCAUGAUUUUAAUGUUUUUUGAUGUUAUUUGAGGCCUCGAGCUAAUUUGUAAUAUGUUUUGGGACUGGUUGGUAUGAACCCCCGGGGGUCUCGGGUGGAUUUCAAGUGGUUAACAGAUUGAAAUUGGGUAAAAAGCUGUUGCAGGUUGCUGGUAUCUGGUUUGCUUCUUCGCAAACACGAAGCAAGUCUCGCAAACGCGAAGAGGAAAAUGGGAGGCUGCUGAUUUUGGACUUCGCGAAUGCGAGGUUGAGGUCGCGAACACGAAGGGGUGGAUUGAGCUGCUAUGCGAACGCGGGGAUAGAUCGUGAACGCAUAGAAGGAAAAGUUAGGCAUUAGUCAUUGGCCUACGCGAACGCGAGGCUAGGUAUGCAAACACGAAGAGGAUGGGUAGCUAGCCUUCGCGAACGCGAUAGACGGGCCACGAACGCGAGGAAAGGCGGACCAAGGCUGGGCAGAAUAUUUAAAAUCGGGUUUUAGCUCAUUUUUCACUUUAUUUCUUCCAUGGGAGCAAAUUUUAGAGCAACUUUGGAGUGUCAUUUUCAUCUCCAAGCAUGAGAUAAGUGAUUUCUACUGGUUUUGAGUUAAAUACAAGGUUUAUAUAUGGUUUUAGAAAUGAAAAUUUGUAGAAAACUUGGGAUUUAAGGAAGACCUAAAAAAUUAGUAUUUUGGGUUUGUGACAACAAUUUUGGGUAUGGAAUUAAGAGAAAUCAUAUAUUUGAGUUCGUGAGUUCAUGAGUAAACUUUAUCUUCGAAAUAUUUCAGAACCAGGCACGUGGGCCCGAGGGCUUUUUGUCAAUUUUUUGAUCGGGGCUAGGAAUUUCUAUAAAUUGGAUUGUAAUGAGUAGUUGCGUAUAUAUUAAUGGAUUUGCAUAAUCAUUGGAUAGUUUAGGAGAGUUGUGCAUCAAUUAGAGUCUUCGGAAGGACAUGGAAUGCCAGUUAUGGAUCUUCGGAGCAAGGUGAGUCUUAUUUCUAACCUUGUAAGAGGAAAUUAUCCCCAUAGGUGAAAUAAUUGGUUAUGUGCUCUUAAUUAUGUGGGCUACGUAAGCACGAGGUGACGAGAGUCCGUGCGUAGCUACUAUUAUGCUAUUGUCCGGAUAGUUAGAACCCAAAAGUAUGUUAUACUUUGAUUAAUUGUAAACUUAUUGACAGCUUGAAUUGCGUAAACCAUUUCAAAUUAGUAAAUGACUUUCUAAAAGGAUUUAAACUUCAUUUUCUUAAUUUAUUAAAUGAGAAUCGGCUUUUCUUCGGAAAAUUUUUUCAUGUUGACUUUUUGAUUGACUGCUUGUGUGUGUUUAUUUUUGGAACGGGCUGAACGCCUUGGCAGAUUAGAUAGAUGCAUCUAUGGUUCGCGCCGUUCGACCCUCGGCGGUUCACAGUUUAUUUUCUGUUGGAGCGGGCCAUCGACCUCGGCAUGAUUUGUGCAUGCUUGUAUUGUUGCCUUGAACUUAUUUAGAGUUAUUAAUUCAUUUUCACGGAUUGAGAAUAUUUGGAUAAAAAUAAAAAAAUUACAAAUUUUCUGUAAACGAAUUAAUUGUUUACUUGUUUCCUUCUAUUGGAUUAAAAUCAUGUUUGUAGAAAUCUACGAUCAAAUGUAUUAUUGACAUCACAUUAUUAGACCCUUAGUAAGUGCCGAAGUCGAUCUCUCGUUUCUUAUUCUAGAUUACACGGGAUACUCAUUGGGUACACGUUGUUUUCGUACUCAUACUAUACUUCUGUGCAUUUUUGUUGCAUAGGUUUCAUGUGUUAUUAAUGGCAUAUUGGGCAUAACAGCAUGGAUGAUUCGGGGACUGAGUGAGUUGCAUUAUUCGAGGCGGCCCGCAGCUAGUAUAGUCUCAUUCCAGUAUAAUAUAUUUACUUUAUGUCCACUGUAUUCUGGACAGAUGUUGUAUUUUAUUUAUGUCUUAGUAAAUACUCAUGCACUUGUGGCACCGAGUUUUGGGAUGAUUUUGAAAUAGUAUGUAUUCGUUGUCUAUUAUUUAAUUAGAAUUAAAGCGGUUAUCUUUCUUAUUAUUUAUAAAAAUUGAAGGAAAAGCUUAAUUUUCAAGAUUGUUAAAAGGAAAAUUUCAAUAGGUAAUUUGAUUGAUCCUUAGUAAGUUUUAGAUCGUGAAAGUUAUAGAAGGGAACAAGAGCUAUGUCUACAAAUCCAAAGGCAUCUCCUCCGAAGUAAAGUUUCUUUCCAAGUUCUGCUUCUAACAACUUAGACCAGUCUACAAGUUCUUUCUUACGUGUUUCUUGCUCUUCUGCUGCCCCCAUCCAUACCUUUAAUUUAUACUUGACUCGUAUACCUAAAUUACCAUUAGAUUAAAAAAUGUCGAAAUGCUUAGAAACUUUGUACUAUAAGACAUUCUCAUCUUUUUCUCUUGAUAAUUUUUUGGUUCUUCAAAUAGAGUUUAACUUUUGUACGCUAAAUAUGUAUAGUAUUUUUUACACUAUUAUGUUAAAGCAUGUUCAUAGCACUUAAACUUAUUUAAUGGUUAUUGUUAUUUUGUUAUUACUAUUUAGUAGUUCUUAUAAUAUUGGUAUUAUUUUUAUGGUUUUUGUUGAUGGUUAUCUUUUUUCGUCUUUUUUGUUUUCUUGAAUCGAGGGUUUAUCGGAAACAAUCUAUCUACUUCAUCGGAGUAAGCGUAAGGUCUGCAUACAUAUUAAUCUCUCUAGUCCCCUCAUCUUUGGAAUUUUACUGAAUUAUUGUUGUUGUUAUUAUUAUUAUUAUUAUUAUUAUUAUUAUUAUUAUUAUUAUUAUUGUAUGUUAAAGCGUGCCUUAUAACAACUUGUAACUUUUUAUGAUAAGCAUAAUUUGGUAAAUUAAGAGAUUAAGUAAAUAACACGUUAUAAUUGGUUAAGAUACAUUAUUGCGAUAAUAAUCAUGCCUCGAUUCCAAGCAAGUUGACCCAACUAUGUAAAUCUCUACUUACCAUCACUACGUUUAAGUUCAUCUAAAUCUAAUAUUGUGAAGUAUUGGCUCAAUAUCAAUUUAUGUAAAGGUAUUUGGAUUUCAAGAGUUAAACGAAUUCUUUUUGAUUGUUAUUAUUUUAUAUGCCUUUUACAUAUUUUAAAUAAUUAAUUAUAUUACUUCUAUGUAAUUUUCAGAUAUAUAAAUAUUAUCCGAAAAAUUAAAAAAAAAUUAUCUCCAAAUGCAUUAUCAAUGUUAAAAAGUUUAAAUCUCGAAGAAAAUCGAAAAGUAUCACAUAAAAUGGGACCAUGGGGGUACAAAAUAUAAAUAAAAGCAUGGGUGGAUUUAGGGGGCGCAAGAAUGUUCGUCCGAACACCCUUCACCAAAAAAAUUACAUUGUAUGUAUAAAGAAAAAUCUAUCUUUUACCUCUAUCUAUUAAGUUUUGAACAUCCUUAACACAAUCCAAAAGUAUAGUUUAGUGGUUAAGGGGUUUCAAAAUCUACAUAAGGUCAUGAGUUCAAUUUUCACUAGCUACAAAAAAAAAAUAUGAACCCCCUUUAUGGAGAUCCUGAAUCCGCCACUGAAUAAAAGUACUCUUGUUAUGAAACAGUAAAAGAAGAAGAAGAGUAAUAUAGAGAAAAGUAGAGAUAAUUCUUAUUGAUUUGAGAUGAAUUAUAAUGGAAUAUAACCCUCUAUUUAUAGAGAGAUGGUGACUUAGCCACCAAGUAAUAAACCCUAGAAUCUCUCUAAAUAUAGACAGUCACCUUAAAUAGAAUUCUAUUUAUAACACUCUCCCUUGAAUGUCUAUUCAACAGAUAAUGUGCAUCGUUAAAACUUUAACUAAAAUAAAACACGAUGGGAAAAAGAUCUAGUAAAGGAAAAAGAGUACAUAGAACUCUAUUUAUAAUAUUCCCCCUUGAAUGUCUAUUCAACAGAUAAUGUGCCUCGUUAAAACCAUAACUAAAAUAAAACCCAAUAAAAAAAAUUCUAGAAAAGGAAAAAGAAUACACAUAUCUAACGUUACCCCUUCUGGUUACCUCAUUAAAAACCUUGUAAGAAAAAUCCAGUGGGACAAAACCUUGUAAGGAAAAAAGAUUGCAAGGCACAUUAACUCGCCCUAAUGAGAGCAUCAAUUAACAUCCUUGAGCCUUCGCAUCCCAAUCUUGUGCACCAUCUUCAAAAGAUCUCUUGAACGAAUUUGUUUCGCCGUGAAAUCAUCAUUCCUAAUAGAUUUGUAAUGUUUUCAUAAAAUUCCAUGGAAUGAACUUUUCAAUAUCUCCAUAGAGAUUUUCACUAUCAUAUUAUCAUGCUUAUAGUUAUAGUAAGAUACAUAUGUGCAAAAAUUGCACUUAGGAUACAGUACUUAUGACCAUGAAUUCUAUAUGCUUUAAGCAAUUUAAAUCCUUUGGGGAUUUUCAUAUAAGUUAAGUUAUAUAAGCCAUAUAGUAGACAGUAGAUGCAUAUCAAGUUUUCAUGUCAUCAUAGACAUAUAAGAUAUCAAAAACAAAUUGUACAUACCAUUGACUUUAUACUUUCAAGUAUUUGAACUAUAUGUUCAAAACUACAUGUAUUUCGUAUGAAACCAAUUCUACUUGAAUUGUUUCUCUAAACUUAAGAUCCUAAUAUAUAUUUAGCGCUAUCAUAGAUGUCAUCAAAAAAUAUAUUAUAUCGGUUCCAACCUUUUUUUUUUCAUAAAGACAUAACAUAGAGAUCUCUUCAUUCAUAUAUUCAGGUACCUGAAUCUCUCAUGAGAUUUUAUGAAGUAUUUUGUCAUGUGACCUUCUAGAUCACCUGCCUCCUUUAUUAUGAUUAUUUAGAUCAUUUGCUCAUCUUCUUUAUCAAGAAGUUUAUUUGAAACCAAUUUGUCUAUACGCUUUAAGCGUACCACAGACUUUGUCAUUCUAGGACUUAAUAUGAGCAUUUGUAAUAAGAAUAUAGUUAUUUUAUUUAGGUCGGCAUAUGUGUCUGGCAUGCUUUGCAAUAUAUUGUAGAUGAAUUAUCUUUUGAUGAACUUCAAGUUCAUAUUAUCUUAUUCGAGGAUCUAGAUGUACAAAUAAUAAUUUAUUUCACAUAACUUUUUCUCAAUUGUUUAUCAUAUCUCCCUCUCAUGUUAGAAGAACUAACUUGUUCCUCAACUUUGAGAAUCCAUCUUUGUACGUUAUGGUAUUAAUCAAAAUAUAUACCGCACAUCAAGAAUAAUAAGAUGGGAUUAUUUGGUUCCUGACCCUGAACCACUUGUUGAGGGGAGAAAAUAAUAUACGUUCGUAUAUAACGUAUAUCAAACUGAUAUAUAUAGUUUUGUUCUAAUAAGCAAUAGUUUAGCUAUUAAGUGGAGACACUCAACAAAAUUAUUUUUCUAAACCAACGGUGAUGAAACCAACUUAUCAAGAUAAAUUUCUUGAAUAAAAAAAUUUCGGAAAUUAUGCUCGAAAUUAAAUUAUUGAGCAAGUUACCUCGCAAACACCAUGUUGCGGGUUAAUAAUAAUCGCACAUGUAACCAUAUCAUUGAUGCAUAUUAUGUGGUAUACAUGGCAGGUGAAUGGACCAUACUCACCUUUGAUAUUUUCAGCAUUCAUGGGAUUCAACCUAAUUUUAGUUGGUAUAUUAAUUAAUGAGAACAAGCAACAUAAAAGAAUUUGUAAGGAACUUUAUAGUUCUUUGAUAUUUACUCAUACGAAUUUUCUUUUAUUUUUGCACAUCAUACUUAAACUAAUAUGGGUAAACCAAUUAUGCUAUCUAAAUAUUCAAAUUUACGUCAUGACGUGUGCAAAUAUCAAUAAGCUCCAAGUUUAUUAUGAUACGAAUUUUUACAUCAAUAAAUAUUCACUUAUUGUGAUAUUCUUUUAUUUGUGUAGUACAAACUGGAGAAUAAAGCAGGUAACUUUUCACAUACAUAUUACCCAGCUAUAAGUUGUAGUAAUAGAAGAUAUUAAAUCUUUCCUUUAUUUAUAAUCUCAAUAUAAUCAAUCGCUUUCGCGAAUAACUUAGAAAUUCAAUUAAGUUUCUCUGAGACUUACUACAAUGCAAAUAAUUUAUUGGUAAUCAAUUGUGUUUCUCCAAAAUAGUAAUAAUUGGCUCUUUUAGAGCUCUCAAUUAAUUUUAUUCUACCACAUAUUCAUCAAUAUCCAUGUGGUGAAUAUCUCUUUUAAAGAGAAAGUUAUACAAUUAUGGUUAUGGUCAAAAUUAUAUACAAGAUAUGUUCUUGCAUUAUUGUUUUUCUUUAAUAAUCACAUUACUAAAAUAUUUUGGCGUACAAUACAAGAUAUGUUCUUGCAUUAAUGUUUUUCUUUAAUAAUCACAUUACUAAAAUAUUUUGGCGUACAAUAGGUUCGUGACCAAUGAUCACUGAUGCCAUAAUAAUGACAUUAUUUUUUUAUAUCAUCUCAAACCUCCUUCUAGAGGUGGGUGUGGUAUAUUCACUACCACUAGCACGUUCAUAUUCUUCCAAGAAUGAAUAUGUAUUUAUAAAUUAGAUGUUGUCACACUCACACGAGUGUGGUAUAUUCACUACCACUAGCACGUUCAUAUUCUUCUAAGAUAGAAUAUAUAUUCAUAAAUCAGAUGUUAUCACAUUCACAUCAUGAAUGGGUCAUAAUCAUCUAUAUGUGCUUUAUAAAAUCUCAUGUCAAAUCGAUGACAAAUAAUACUUUCACAAAGUGAAGAAUUAUUUAGAGAAUCUUUAUUGUUAUCAUUACCACAAUAAUGACGAUUAUAAUUUUGUCUAUUGUCAUGUUCACAUCCAUUGAUACAUUCAUAGUAAUAAUUUUGUCUUAUUUUAGACUUAUCAUAUACUGCUAUAACAUUCUAUUAAGGGAAUGAGAAUGAAGCAAAGUCAAUGGGACGAAUUUCCAAUAGUUUGCGCACAAUCAUACAUGAAUUUAAUUAUGGCAAGGUAUAGACUUUUUAUUAUUUCAGGUGGUUAUAAUUUCUUACAAACUCCAUUAGAAUUAUAAUCAAGCUUUGUUGUCUUUGCUGUAUAUAAAAUCAAAAUAUAGAAUAAAGAGAAAAUGUGAUAAAAUAUUUAUCUUAAAUCCAAAAUUUAAUCAUGAAGGAAGUUCAUAUAACUAUUGACAAUCAUUAUGCUCAAUCCCAAAGCUUCUACUCAAUUAGUUAGAGUCUCGUGAUGAUAACGUAUUAUGAAACAAUAAAAGAAGAAGAGUAAUGUAGAGAAAAGUAGAGAGAGAUAAUUCUUAUUGAUUUGGGAUGAAUUACAAUGGAAUAGAACUCUCUAUUUAUAGAAAAACGGUAACUUAGUCGCCAAGUAAUAAACCCUAAAUAUUCACCAUACUGGAUAAUGUCUGAUUCACAAACCGAUUUACCGUUAUGGACAAGAACUGGCACCUUCUGAUGAACCGGGUUCAUUUCCGGAAGGUUAAAGGAGUUGUAAGGUAUUUUACCUUAAAUCAAUUGUUGUGAAGACAUGAGACUUUAAUUUCUGUUUCUUUUGUGGUGCAAAAAGUCAAUAAACAUCAUAUAAUUGAUAUUAGUUGUAUGAGAUAAGUUUUUUAUCUUAUAAUCUUGUGGGCCUAAAUUUAUAUGAAUCCAGAAAUGUAAGAUUGAGGUCUACAAAUAUUUAAGAUAAACAGGAAUUUCAUACAACUACUGUUAGUUGUAUGACACAUAAAAUAAAACUUCUCAUUUAGGAACCCUUUAGUAUAGAUUUUGCCAAAAUAAAUUUUGAUUUUAUUUAGCAAAUAUAUAUUUGGCUAUAGAUUUUGAUUAUAUUUUAACAAAAUCCCAAAUCUCAAAAUCAGCUCAAUAGCUGCUUUUGGACAGAAAUAUCAUUAUUUUAUUUUUAAAAAAUUACCACAAUGUUUUAUAUUUUAUAAAAUAGCCCAACAUUUACUAUUUUGUAACAAUGUUGCUUCUUCUUCUCGGUUAUCUGAUAAUGUAUCAUGUAGUUCAUUAUAAAAAUGAUAAUGUUCAAGACUAUGGUUUACGAUAAUAUAAUGAAUGUUAUUGAUGAUGGUACCAUUGGGUAUUUGUGAUAGCUUUUAGAACUUAUGGGUAUAAGUCAUUUUUCAUAUUUUUUCAAAAUAAAUUUGGAAAAUAUUUAUUGAAAUCUGAUAUCCAAACACAUUUUCAUCUUCAAACCAAAUUUCAUGCAAAUCAAAUUUUUCAAAACAAAUUUGGAAAUCUAUGGUCAAACGCUAGCUUAGAAUAUAUAUUAGAGAAAAGUAAAAUUUGAAGUUUAGUAGAAAAAAAAAUAUUUAAAUGUUGAAGUUGUAUUUGGACAUAAUAGCACAGUUAAAAUUUUGCAAUAAAAAACUCCUAAAACACAUUUUUUAUAUUUCAGAUUCUAUAUAUCAAACUUGAAGUUAAAACGAUGAGCCAUUUUGAUAAAUAAACACAUAUUUGAACGUAUCUGCUUCUUAUUUUAAAUUUCUGAAACAAGAUCUACGGACAAACUUGAUUGCAUUUCAUUUUUUUAAAAUUUUUUUUUGUAGGAUUAGCUGGAAUUCUUUGUCUAAUUUGUGCAAUUCGUCUAUAUGUUUGACAAGAUGUGAAAUUAAAAAAGAAAAUACGACUUUUGACACAUACUUAAAAUAAAUUCUGGGAUCUUGUAGUUCUAAAUUUAUCAUAAUACUUUUAUGGCUAUAAGAAUAUGCCAUUAAGCGUAAAGAUAAGUUUAGGUUAAUUUUUAAAUGUAUAAACAUGUCAUUUUAUUUGAACAUAUUUAAAAGAAAAAAUCUUAUAUAUAUAUACAAUAGUAUAUGAUCUAGUUUCAUCAACAACAAUGACUACUAUUGAAGCGAUAGCUUAAUUCUGUUUUGGCAAUAUGAAAAUCGUAAAUUGACACUCAACUUUGUAUUGGGGACAUCUCACAUUUUAUUUAAAUAACUCGAAAAAUUCAAAUCAUGAUGCUUGUAAGCAAAUCAUAUGCAUUAGAUAAAACAGUUGUGCUUGAUGGAGUCUUCACUAUGGUAAACGAUUUCAUAUACAGUAACAUCUUAACUGGCGUGGAAGUGAUAAGAGGAUUCAGUCUGAUUCUUUAAUUACGAAGGUUAAUCAUGCGCAUGCCUCAAAAUUUUGAAUUAACAGUAUGAAAAAGUAAAUUAACUUAACCGUUCAUAUUGUUUGACUAAAGAAUGUUGAGCUUUUUGUUAAACUAAUUAAAUAAGAAGGUUUUUAGUAAAUUCUAGCCAAAGAUAAUUUAUCCUAAAUCUAAGAUAGAAAAUAUAUAUAAUCGAGCAAAGCAAAUAUAAGAUUUAGCUAUAACAUCGAUUGAAUCCCAUUAUAUAAGAUGAGGAUGAUGAUUUUCAUAACAUUAAAUAUCAAUGAAGAAUACACAAAUAAAAAGGGUUACCAAUCUUUAACAAGGUAGAACCCCGUAUAGUUGUUGUGAUGAGAUUAACGAUAAUAAUAUACGUUCGUAUAUAACGUAUAUCAAACUGAUAUAUAUAGUUUUGUUCUAAUAAGCAAUAGUUUAGCUAUUAAGUGGAGACACUCAACAAAAUUAUUUUUCUAAACCAACGGUGAUGAAACCAACUUAUCAAGAUAAAUUUCUUGAAUAAAAAAAUUUCGGAAAUUAUGCUCGAAAUUAAAUUAUUGAGCAAGUUACCUCGCAAACACCAUGUUGCGGGUUAAUAAUAAUCGCACAUGUAAUAUACUAGAUCUUCUCUGUUACCCAACGGUCAUAAAUCAUUGUACUUAAGUCGUGUACUAUAUUACGGGUUGACCCCUUGAAAUGUUGUAAUAUCCAAUUUGCCUCCCAAGUAUUCUGAAUUCAUGACCUCGCCCAUGGUCGAUGUGUGUGUCGUUAUAACAUUGUAUGGAUACGGUUGUCCCAAGUAACUUUUCGUCGUACCUUUCCACGUCGAUUCUCGUCUGACAGAUUUUGGCCCACACAAUUAGCCCCUCUUUCCAUUAGGGUCGCCUCAUGGCGAACUCGAUGGGCAGACUUUGUCGAUUCUAAAAUUGUGACAAAUCUGAACAGUUUGCGCGAGAGACGAGCACCUCAUGGAGAGGUAGCGACAUGACAUUUCGAGAGCUGCGUCAGACCGUCACAUAAGUUUAGAAUGUCAUUAAUAUUUCUCAUACUUCAUUAUGGCACACGUUUUUUAUGCAUUGCGUCAUUUCCCCGUGCCCAUUUUGUUUUCUAAAUGGCGGCAUUUGGUUCUUCUGCUCAAGGCAUUUAUAUCCCCAAAAAUAGGAUAGAAUCUUUCAUUUGAAUGCUACGCUUCUUAAUCGCUCAAGAGAGAUUUUUGCAACUCUUCCCCUUCUCCUUCAGUUUCUCAUACUUCUGUUUUUGUUAGGAUUUGUUGUGACACUACCUUCUUCCUUAUCAUUCUUGUUUCUUUCAAUCAAAGAAAAGAUAUCUAGUGCUUCUUCUAACUCUGGUAAAGCCAUUGAUGCUCCGGUGCCGGAAAAUGCACCCCUAAUCAAAGGGGGAGGGGGUACAGUGGAAGACGAGGGUUUUUUGAUAGUAGAUGAAAAUGUUCCCCGUCCAGGGAAGGCGAGGGCUGAUUUCAACAGCCCUGCUAGGGAUGAGGGUAUAAGGCUCUCUCUCUUUCUCUCUUUCUCUCUCUAUAUCUCUCUCUCUCUCUCUCGCUCUCUCUCUCUCUCUCUAGUUCUUUGAUAAUAUUAAAUAGAGUAUUUCUAGAUACCUGCGAGUAUUAAUUUAGUAAUACACAUUUUGAACUAAGUCAUAAUCAUGUGCAACUCCGUGUUAGAUCUAAAACAAAGAUAUAUAAACUUAAUAAAAAAAUAAUUCUCAUUUCAGAAAAUCAUGCUUGAUCUAUAGAUUAGUUUCUUCUAGCUUCCUACUAUACUCCAAGAUUAUAUAUCCUUUAGUACUCCAUCUUCUUCUUCUUGAUAUUAAACUGUAAUGGCAAAACAUCAAACCACUUUUUCAAGUAGUUUCCGAUCUUCUAGCUGCAUUCUUGUCUUUCUCUCUGCCUUAUCAUCCAUUCCUCAUUCUUCCGUAGUAGGCUCGCUCAUAGGUGCUCGGCCAUACUAGGCUCUGUAUCUCGGUCAACUAGGCUUGCUCAUAGGCACUUGGCCACGAUAGGUUCGGUAUAUAACUUAGCAUCUGAUAAGAGGUUUUCCAAUAAGGACAUGCUCAUCGAUUAUAGCUUGAUGGUAAUGAAAAUACUGUAAUAUUGUAUAUAUAAAUUCUUCGCUCUCUUGACUGGAAGAAGAAAAUACUCAAUCGAAUAUAGAGUCCUGAUAAGGAGAAUAUUGUAACUUACAAAAUUAGAAAAAUAUACGUAAAUUUCGAAGCAUGAAUUUUUCUUUAUAUCUCAUUAUUAAACUUAUGUAAUUAGUGGGAUCAUGCAAAAUGACGGAGAAUCUUAGCCUUAACAUAUUUAAAGUAGGGAAAAAUUCAUAUAAUAAUCUUGAGAAAGAUUGCAUCGAACUCUUUUUAUAUUUAAAAGAAAACUACAUACAUUUUUCACUUUAUUAUCUUCCACACACCAAAAUAAGAAACAUCACAAGGUGGAGGUAUUAAAUUUAUGGACCAAAAGACAAUGAUUGUCAAACCAUCAUAAACAAUUGGGAAUAAAGUUCUUUUAUUCUUGUUGGUAAGAAACGAUGGGAAAGUAAAGAAAUUGUUGGAAUUGAUGCAAUAUGAUUGUAAUAGUUGAGAAUAAAAUGUUAUUUUGUAGUCAAAAUCAUAAAUAAAGUGUCUUGGAAUCCAUCUAUUAGGUUGCCACCUUUUACACGACUUUAAGAGUCAUUGCUUUGAAAGGGAGGGGCUGCCACGUGGAGGUAGGCAAGAUUAUCUAAAAUAUUGAAUUAAUUAAUUGAGUAAUAUUUCGCUAUUCGAUAAUUUAUCAAUUAUUUACGUAAUUAAAAAUUAUCUCAAAUUACAUAAAAUUUUAUUUCUUUUUAAUACACUUUAUACAUCCUAUCAUCAUGGUCAUAUGGUACCUCGUAUGGUACUAGUCCGUAAAUAUCGAGUAUUAUUGUUUGGCCCGUAUUUUAUCCUAAUAUGUCAACUUGGACGAAAAUUUAUUUUCUUCGACUUGCUUCCCCUCCCACCUUUACGAAUUUACUCAUAACUUGUUUGAAAGAACAUAAUGCUUAUAAUAUCAAAAUAAUCCCAUUUCUUAUUUUACGCCAAUUAACUUACGACGAAACUUAAACAUUCGAAAAUGUAGGAUGUAACAUACGUAUAUAAGUUCUUCCUUAUGCUUAGCAAGUAUGCGGAAUUAGCCGAUCGAGGAAUUUCUCUACAAUACAUGCUUCACCUCUUCGCCCUCUAUUUUCAUAGGGGCAUGAUGGUUCACAUGCGUCACUCAAGGACCAAGGGUUUGGUGGUGAAGAUGGAGGACAAGACCAUCCAUCUCUUUUGGGAAAAUUACUUCUAUGUCUGUACGGGGCACGUGGUGUCUAACCCUGCCGAGUUCCUUGAGGUGUGGAAUUUCGCUCGUACGUAUCCUUUUCCUUUUGUUAUAUUAUAUUUUUUUUAACAUAGUUGUUGGUCAUCUCUCUUUAGUGACCAUAGUGUUUUCUAUUUUUGCAGCGAAGAGGGUGGCUCCUCCGCAAGUUGCCAACAUACGCGAAUGGGUGAGUAUUAUUCUACCCCACAUGAUGGGGAUCCACGAAUAGGCGCCUUUUUAUGAGAGGUUUGGGCGCAAACCUUCCACUGGUGAAUCGACUUGUUUCAGCCUUAGUUGAUUAUUCUUUUCUCCAUCUUUUUUCUUUAACUUACCUUUGUUUGAUCCAAUUUCCUAUUGGCAGGUCGGAGAGGAGCGAGAAUGAAAGGGGCUUGACGGAGUUAAGCUGUAUUGAGGGAAUCGUUUUGUCUCAAUCAAUCAAGAAUGCCUCAACUGGAUAAAUUCACUUAUUUCACACAAUUCUUCUGGUCAUGCUUUUUCCUCAUUCUUAUUAGGUUCUAUCUCCCUUGCUCAUGCACUUGCUUUCCGUCAAUCAGCUGUCUCUGUCUGGCCCGUACCAAGAGCAACUGCAGAUGAGGGCAACCAAAGUUUGGUUGCUCAGCAGACUGCGUCUUUGGCUCAAACCAUCUGUUUGGAGGUUGAUCCUCGACCGGAGACUCCGGUCCCUGCAGCCCAUUCAACGGGCAAACUUUCUCGUGGUAGCAGUGAAGAGGCCCCAUCGAAGAGGCGAAGGAUAGUGUUGGAAGGGGAGUCUUUAGCUGAAACUCCCUCAAAGGGCGACCUCAUUUUGGCAAUGCCUAAAAGCGGUGGUGGUGCCAGCCUGGGUGUGGAGGAGAUGCCCGUUUUGGGCAUGGAAAAAGGCUACUGGGUUAGAGGGAUUGAGUUUUGAUGUUGCCGCUACUGUUUCGAGCGACCCAUCAAUGAUUGGGCUGGCCCAUCCCCCUUCUUCGGCUAAUGAGAGGUUGAAGGGAAUUAUGGUGGAAGAUACUGAAUUUGAUUCUGACAUUGAUCUGAGGACAUGAGGAUGUUAGAGGAGGGCUUUACUAGGGUCGAUGUGAGGGCGGAAGGUCGUUCUCGCGUACUCGAAAUCCCGUCGGAUUUUAACAUAUUGGAGGAUACAGUGAAUUUAGUGUCGCGAUCGCAUAUUCAACAUAGAUUUCAGACUUAUGUGCCUUCCAGAACUAGGGGUAUUCGAUCCCGGUGCGUAUGAUUAGCCAGCUUUGCAACAGUAAAAGGAUUAGACGUUCCCCCAUGCUAUGGUUCCCUACGGUCCAAACCCCUUUCCGCGUUCGAGAAUCUCCCCUUCUUCCAAUGAAUUUCUGAAUAAUGAAAGGUCACUUCUUGAAUAAAAUAUUUCUAUUUGCCUCAGUUCAACCUUUUGUGCUCUGCCACGAUUCUGGAGAUCAGUGAUUUUGAUUUGUCAUGCGGUGUCGCCUGGAUGGCCCUAAGCGUGAGUUCCCUUUUGUUAUUUUCUUUGUUUUGUGCCCUUUGCUUUUGCUGAUUACUAUUUUUUAGACUUACAUGCUGGAGAUCGAGAGUGCCUGUAGAGAUGAGGCGUGGGCCGAAGUUUUUCUGAAAAUGGCCGAGAAGUACCAGCGGUAUCGCGACAGGUGCCAUGAGAAGCUCGAGAAGCUUUAGAGCGGGCACUAGUACUCAAUCUUUUAGGGAGGAGUUAGAGAAAAUGGACGAGGAUCUGAUGCGGUCUGUCCAUAGUUGCAGUAAGCUCGAGGGGCUACUUAAUGACAAAGGCAAGGAGCUCGAGGUGGGACAAAAAGGUUGCAGCAGAAUACAAUGACCUUUUGGCGAAUGUGCUGUCUUUGCGAGCCGAACUUGAGCAGAAUACCACUGGAGUCGCCAACCUAAGUGCAGAGUGGACAGAGAAUGUGGCAGAGCUAGAAACAAAGGUGGCCGAAUUGGAGAGAGCUGAGAGAGCUCGAAUGGAGGCAUUUGGUAAGGGUGGUAGUGAUGGAAGACACUAUCCACGUCCUCAGGUCUGAGCGGGAAGCUAAGAGGGAGAUGGCCACACCAAGGGAAACAAGACUCGAGGAGCAGAUUGGUGAACAUGAUCGAGAUGCUUCGAGCCUAGGAGACCGAGUUGAGGCUCUCGAGGCCGAGAAGGUGCAACUAUUGGCUCACGCCCACCCUAAAGAAUCUUCCCAUGUUGUUGUCCGCCGCCAUUUAUACGAGCUAUGGGUCCAUGCUAAGGCCUAAUGAUAUAUAUAUAUUGAUGCUCCGGUGCCGGAAAAUGCANNNNNNNNNNNNNNNNNNNNNNNNNNNNNNNNNNNNNNNNNNNNNNNNNNNNNNNNNNNNNNNNNNNNNNNNNNNNNNNNNNNNNNNNNNNNNNNNNNNNNNNNNNNNNNNNNNNNNNNNNNNNNNNNNNNNNNNNNNNNNNNNNNNNNNNNNNNNNNNNNNNNNNNNNNNNNNNNNNNNNNNNNNNNNNNNNNNNNNNNNNNNNNNNNNNNNNNNNNNNNNNNNNNNNNNNNNNNNNNNNNNNNNNNNNNNNNNNNNNNNNNNNNNNNNNNNNNNNNNNNNNNNNNNNNNNNNNNNNNNNNNNNNNNNNNNNNNNNNNNNNNNNNNNNNNNNNNNNNNNNNNNNNNNNNNNNNNNNNNNNNNNNNNNNNNNNNNNNNNNNNNNNNNNNNNNNNNNNNNNNNNNNNNNNNNNNNNNNNNNNNNNNNNNNNNNNNNNNNNNNNNNNNNNNNNNNNNNNNNNNNNNNNNNNNNNNNNNNNNNNNNNNNNNNNNNNNNNNNNNNNNNNNNNNNNNNNNNNNNNNNNNNNNNNNNNNNNNNNNNNNNNNNNNNNNNNNNNNNNNNNNNNNNNNNNNNNNNNNNNNNNNNNNNUUUGUUAUCUUUACUUUGAAUCAAAUGGUCGGUUAGUCUUCGUUCGUGUGUUUUUGGAUUUUCCUUCUCUUCCUUUCAAAUUUCAAGGAUUUUCUCGCAAUGAGUCCGUAACUUCUGGUAGUUGAUCUGAAUGGGAUCGAACUCGACUCGCUAAUUUGAACUCGACUUUUUUAACCGAGGUGGGGUUGAAUCUCGUCUUGCAAAUUUCGAUUGAAGCCAGUUUUGACUUGUUAGUUCGAGCUAGGUAGAACAUCAUCUUGCCAAUUUGGGUGAGGUCACUUUGGACUUGUAAAUUCGAACGAAAUCGAAUUUUUUUCUCGCCAACUUGGGCGAGGUUAAGUUUGACUUGUUUGUUCGAAUGAGAUUGAAUUUCACUUUCACGUGGCGAUGGCCGGGCGCCGCUGCGUGUGAAUCCGAACGAGGCCAAAUUAUAACCCGUGAUGAGUUCGAGCAAGGUCGAACAUCGAUUUGAUAACUUGAGCGGGGUCGAAUAUUACUUACUUGGUGACGUCCAGGGUCAUACGGGUAUAAAUUUGAGUGAGGUCGAACGUUAACUUUGCUUGGAGAGGACCGAUGGCUAUAAGGGUGUGAAUUUGAGCGAGGUCAAAAAUGUAACCUGUUAUAAGUUCGAGCGAGGUCAAACUUUUAUUCUGAUUGGCGAUGGCCGAUGGCCGUAAAGGUGUAAAUUUGAGCGAGGUCGAGAUUCUAACUCGUUGUGAGUUCGAGCAAGGUCAAACAUUAGCUUUUUUUGGCAAGGGUCGAAAGCUGUAAGGUUGUGAAUUCGAGCAAGAUCAAAAUUGUAACUCGUUAUGAGAUCGAGCAAGGUCAAACUUUCCUUUCGCUUGGCGAUGGCCGAUGGCCGUAAGAGUGUAAAAUCGAGUAAGGUCAAGAUUGUAACCCGUUGUGAGUCUGAGCGAGGUUGAAUGUUAACUUUUCUUGGCGAGGGUCGAUGGCUGUAAAGGUGUGAAUUCGAGCGAGGUCGAACUUUCCUUCCGCUUGGCAGUAUGCAAGUUCGGUGGAAUGGUGAGAUUCAUUUGUUCAUUGCCUUUAUUGGAGAAUGUUACUCAUUGUUGCAUAGUUUAUAUGUGCAUCGGGGUGAGUCCUGGUUUACUUAAUUUUGCUUUCAUUGGAGAGUAUUGUGUGUCGGGGUGAGUCUAGUUUAUCUGGUCUCUUUAUUAACAGGAUGGACGAUGAUUUUUAUGGCUUGUGCUUCUGGCACCCUUAGACCUGAUUGACUCGAACGAAGUUCGGGCGUGAUUCGUAGUAUUUAGUCGGCCAAACCAGUAUAGUGUUGCCAUGGCGAGCAUAUGUGCAAGCUUUUUGUGCUUGUGUUCUGCCUAUGUUGGAGAGACUGUAUGUUCUGUGGACUCAUCGCCCAGUUCCAGGUUGUGGAGGUUGUUUCUUAAUAGUGCUGGCUUGUUCUAAGUCGUUUGUCUGUUAUUUGUUGUAUGGUACGGUGUGGUGGGUUUUGCUCGACCAUUGCUUGCAAGACGAUGUGGUGUAGAACAUUUUCCUGGCGUGUUAUUUUGAUGGCGUUUGUUCUUUGUUCGUGCACUAGUGCUCAUGUUUCUGUCCCCCUCCAGAAAGAAGGAAAAAUAACAAGUUACAACCAAAAUAAAUCGUCUAUUACCUUGAACUAAUUGGUUGGCUAGGAGAGAAGGGUGUUGUAGAAAGACUCAUUUAGAGCCUAUUUGGACUGGCUUAAAAGCUGAUCAAACCAGCUUUUAAGCAAUUUUUAAAUGUUUGGAGUCUUUGGCAAAAAAAGAAAACAACUUAAAAAGGUUUUAAAAGGCUUUAAAAAAAGCUAAGAGCCACAAGUUAGGAUAUCCUAACUUCUCCAUCUUUGGCUUAAUAGCCAUCUUAUUUUGACCAACAAAAUUACUCACUUGUCCUUUAUAACUUUUACUAAUUCCAAAACUACCCUCAUCAAAUAAAUUCUAAAAAAUCCAACUACUCACUUUCUAUUCAUCUUCUUCACUCUUCUUCUUCAUCUUCGAUGGUAAGUUUGUUCUUCUCCUUCAUCUUCGACACUUUCUGUUCUUCUUUCCCAAACUUUCCUUGUUCUUCAUCGUAAAACAUCCAACUACACCCAAACAUGAUUUUAAGGUUUAUGUUUUAAAAAGGUAAAAUGCCUUAAACUACUCCUAAACUUGGCUCAGUUUAUUAGUAUCUUCCCCAAAUUAUGCCCAGUUUUAAUUAUCCCCCUCAACUUGGUCUUUUGAGCGUCAUUACCCCCUUAGAUGCUGAUGUGGCAAAAAAUGUGGGUGCACUCACCUGCCACGUGGAUUUUUCUGUCUAUGUGGCAUUUUUUGAACAAUAAAAUAUUUUUUACCUUUUUAAGAGUGUUACUUUUUUAGAUAAUUUUUUUCGAAUAAAACUUGGAUAUAACUACAUUUUGUAGGCUAAAUAUUUUUAUUUGGCCAAAAAUUAGUAAAGUUUUAGUUAAUCUUUUUUUGAAUCUAACCUGAAAACAAAGAUUUAUACAAAAUUGAAAUAAAUAGUCAAGACAUCUAAAAAAUUAUAUAAAAUAUAUAGUUGAAAUAAAUAGUUAUUGUAUCAAAAUAAGAAAUAAAAAAAGUAUACAAUUGCACUUGUAAUUUCUUGCAAAUUUACGCUCUUUUUAUUUUCUUCUUUUGUGAUGCAAUGACUAUUUAUUUCAACAUGUAUUUUUACCUUUUUACGUAAAUAUGUAAAAGAAUAUAAAUUAGAGCACCGUAAUUUAGAUUUAUAUAAAAGAUUAUAUCCAAAAUAAUUAAUUUUAAACUAUGUUUAAUAACUUUUUAGAUACCUUGACUAUUUAUUUCAAUUGUAUAAAUCUUUAUUAAUAUGUCAAAUUCAAAAAAGAUUAACUAAAAUUUUAUUAUUUUUGGCUAAAUAAAAAUAUUUAGCCUAAAUAAUAUCAUUCUAUCAAAGUUUUAUUAUAAAUUAUAUUCGCAAAAAUAAAUUAAAAAGUAAUAUUCUUAAAAAGUUAAAAAAAAUAAAAAAAAUGGCAUAUAGACAGAAAAAUCCACAUGGCAGGUGAAUGCACUCACACUUUUUGCCACAUCAUCAUCCAGGGGGUAAUGACUCUCAAAAGGCCAAGUUGAGGAGGGUAAUUAAGACCGCGCUAGCUUGGGAAGGAUACUAAUAAUCUGAGCCAAGUUUAAGGGUGAUUUAAGGUAUUUUGCCUUUUAAAAAAAUAAAAUAUGGUAACAAUCCUUUUGCAAAUUUUAUGUUUGGUCAUAAUCAGCAUAUAGAAAUCGAGGUUUGACAGAUUAUUACAUAAUGAGCAAGAGGAAGAUAUAAGUUCUUGAUUUGUUUUAUGCGAUAUUUUUAUCUUUUAACAGAAAAAAAUGCUUACAUGUACUUAUUUACCAAACACUUCAAUUUUUUUUUUAAGUUUCAGAACAUGUAGCUGUUUAUUUAUAAAAUAAGCUCCAGCACUUAAAAACCAUUUUUUAAGCCAAUCCAAGCAGGUUCUAAAACAUACUGUUAGUCCCGCACUCGCAUGAUUGCUUCAGAUUUGGUAGCCCCGUGCUUAGCUCCGUCGUUAAUCUACUUUGUGGGGAAUAGAGUUCAACCACAUAUGGAGGGAGACAAUGAGUAGCUAGAAAGGGCUUUCGAGGAGGAGAAUGUGCACGAGGCUGUGUCGAGUUGUGCUGGUGAUAAGGCUCCCAAGCCAGAUGGUUUUUUCUUGGCCUUCUUCCAACUCUGUUUGGACACCAUUAAGGGGGAGCUGAUAGAAUCCAUUGAAUACUUCCACGUGAAUGGUGUUUUCGAGAGAAGUAUCAAUGCUUCUUUUAUUACCAUUGUGCCUAAGAAAGAAGGUGUAUUUUGUAUCAGAGACUACAGGCCAAGAAGGUGCAUUUUAUAUCAGAGACUAUAGGCCUAUUAGUCUCAUGGGGAGUAUUUACAAGAUUAUUUCUAAAGUGCUAUCCAUUAGACUCAAGAAGGUUCUUGACGUGUCUGUUUCGUCCUCCUAGAAUGCGUUUGUGGAAUGUAGGCAGAUCCUGAACGUUGCUUUGGUGCCAAAUGAACUUGUAUACUCCUGAAGAAAAAAUAGAGAACCCGACUUACUAUGCAAGUUGGAUCUUGAGAAGGCUUUCGGCCAUAUCAAUUGGGAGUUCCUGGAUUUCAUUAUAACGUGGAUGGGAUUUGGGAUAAGAUGGAGGAGAUGGAUCAAAUUCUGCAUUUCUUCAAUCAGAUUCUCUGUCCUGGUUAUUGGUAGCCCGUGUGGUUUCUUUGGCAGCUCCAGGCAAGGUGACCUCCUAUCUCUCAUGCUAUUCACUUUAGUGAUGGAUGCUCUGAGUAAAUGUUGGAUUGUGCGUUGGGCGGAGGCUUCUUGCGAGGAUUCUUAGCUCCGAUCGGGACGCCCUAGUGAUCAAAGAGUCUAUCAUUUGCUUUUUGAGGAUGAUACCCUGGUUUUCUGUGAUGCCGGUAUGGAUCAGUUGAUGUACCUGAAGUAGGUCAUGAAGUGGUUUCGGAUAGUAUUAGGACUCAAAAUCAACCUCGGUAAGUGUGAGAUUUCCCCGGUGGGUGAGGUUGCUAACAUCGAUGCUUUGUUUUAUCUUCUCAUAUGUAAGGUGGGCUCUCUUCCUACUAUUUACCUGGGUUUCCCAUUAGGUGCUUUGCAUAAGGAUAAUAUAGUUUGGAAUAUUCAUUGGCACUGCUAUUGGGCAAGACAUGUCCCAGCCAUCUUGUGAUUCUUAGAGAUGUGGGUUGCGUGGCGAUGGUUUGUUCACCGUAAAGUCCUUUUUGACCAGAGUAUGUUAGUGAGAGAGGGGCCACUUUUCCAUACUUCUUGAUUUGGAUUCCUAAGGCGCACACUGAGGUGUGCUUUUUUGCAAGGGGAGUGAUCUUGACUGCUGAAAAUCUACGAAGAGAGAAAUUACACUUGUUAGUUGGUGCUACAUGUGUAAAAGCUUAGGGGAAGAAGUCGAUUAUCUUUUAUUGCAUUGCCCUGUGCUCUCGGGUUUGUGGAGGGCAAUCCUGGAUCUUUUUGGUGUUCAAUGGGUAAUGCCAAGCACUGUAAAGGAAAUGUUAUAUAGCUGGUCCGGUUUUCAUAGAAGAAAAAAGCAAAAGGCGUGGAAGUUCGCAUGUUAGCUCUCAUGUGGAUAGUUUUGGGGGUGAGAAAUAUGAGAACUUUUGAGGGGAUUAAGUAUCAUCUUUCACAUCUUUAUAAUAGUCUUUUAUCUUUGAUCGCUUUUUGGUGCACUCAUAUAGCCCCUACUUGUAUAGAAGAUNNNNNNNNNNNNNNNNNNNNNNNNNNNNNNNNNNNNNNNNNNNNNNNNNNNNNNNNNNNNNNNNNNNNNNNNNNNNNNNNNNNNNNNNNNNNNNNNNNNNNNNNNNNNNNNNNNNNNNNNNNNNNNNNNNNNNNNNNNNNNNNNNNNNNNNNNNNNNNNNNNNNNNNNNNNNNNNNNNNNNNNNNNNNNNNNNNNNNNNNNNNNNNNNNNNNNNNNNNNNNNNNNNNNNNNNNNNNNNNCCCCCCAAAUGAUAACUAAUGUUGCUUCCAACGAGCAACUUCUUUCCACACUUCUCAACAACUCCAUUCCAUACAGAUUUAUUUUUGAAUUUGCACCUAAAGGCAACCCUAGAUAGGUGGUAGGAAAAAUUUUCAACUUUGCAACCCAUAGUAUCAGCCGGCAUAUUUACGUUGCUGUCAGCAUUCAAAGAAAACAUUAAACCAAAGCCUAGUUGGUUUUCAGUCACGUUACUGCUUCAAAAGCCAGCAAAACCACUCUCAAAUGCAGCAUCUGUUCUCUUUCAGCCCCACACAUUAACAAUGUAUCUUGUAUCAUCAACAUAAAGCUAUAAGAGACUUGUAUAAAGAUUCCUGAAUGACCCUCCAUUUUAAAGUCUUUUAUCCAGUCGCUUCUCACAACAGUUUUGAUCAUCUGACUCACAACCUCCAUUACUAAAGAAAAAAAUAGGGAGAUAGUGGGUCCUCUAGUCCCAUGCCUCUUUGAGAAUUAAAAUGCCCUAUUGGACUACCAUUGAUAAGAAUUGAGAACCUAGCAGUGGAAAAACAGAAUUAUAUCCAUUGAAUUCCUCCAAAAUUCAUCUUCUCCAACAGCUAGCUGACAUGAUCAUAAGUCUCUUCCAAGUCUAGUUUAAACACCACUCCAGACAAUUUCCUUUUCCAAUAGUAGUCAUUGCAUUCAUUUGCUAAAAGUGUUGCAUCUGCUAUUUGCUUGUCUUUCAUAAAAGCAUUCUGAUUUUCAAAUACCAAUUUUUAUAUUACAAGCUUCAUUCUCUUCUAAUAUAUUUCUACAGCGCACUAGAGUGAGACUAGCCAGUUAAGAAUAGUCUUAAAAUGCUACUGAUCAGCUAUUGAUGCAGGACUUUAUCUGCUGGAUAUUAGUAUACCUUCCAUCCUUAUCCUUUUCUUUUUCUCUUAAUUUUUCUUUUUCUUUUUCUUUUUCUUUUUCGUAUUUUCUAUAUUUCUUAUAUUGCUGUUAUUUUGGUAUUUUAUGUUAUGUUAUGUAUUUUAUGUUAUUUUAUUAUGAGUCUAUUGAUAGUACUAAUAUAUCGUCUCUUAUUGCUUUCUUGAGCCGAGGGUCUCCUGACAACCGUCUCUCUGCCCCUCGGGUAGGGGUAAGGUCUGCGUACAUAUUAUCCUCCUAAACUUCACUUGUGGGAUUAUACUGAAUUGUUGUUGUAUUCUCUCUGUGAGAACAUUAGCUAUCAACUUGUUUAAGCUCCCAAGCAUACUAAGAUGUCUGAAUUCCUUGGUGUGGACAACCCCUUUCUUAUUUGGAAUUAAAGCAAUGAAGGUAGAAUUCUAGCUUUUAACAAAUUCUCCUUUCCUGUAAAACACCUCAAAUGUCUUCAGAACAUCUUCUUUCACAAUAUACCAACAUUUCUUAAAGAAACUCAUAUUAAAGCCAUCCAGAUCAGGUGGCUUAUCCCCUUCCAACAUAUUAAUAACUCUUGUUACCUCAGCUUCAUCAAGGUCUCUCCAACCAUUCUUUCUUCUGGUCACUAAUAAUAGCAAGCUCAGGGCAUAUCCAUGAAGGUCACCAAUUCUCCUUCUCUGGAAAAAGAUCUUUGUAGAACUCAAGGAUGUGAUUUUUAAUCAUACUUUAUCUUCAGUGAAUUCUCCAUCAACUUGUAGCUUGUCUAUCCAAUUAUAUCUCAUGUUUGAAUUUGCUAUUUUGUGAAAAAAUCUAGUGUUUUACCUGUUGAUCCAUAAAAAUCUGGAAUUUUGUCUCAAAUGUAUCUCUCCUGCCUUGGCUGUAUCACGUAUUCCUUUGUUAAUGCUAUUCUAUUAGAUUCUUCUUCCUCUAAGUUACUAUUUUGACUAUCACUUCGCCCCCUCCUUUCCAAUUGUUGCAAAAUCUGAUCUUUUCGUCUUCCCAGGUAACCAAAAAAUUCUUUGUUCCACUUCUUUAAAUCUUCUUUUUAACUUUCUGAGCUUUCUUGCUAGAACCACAUCUGGUUUGCCUUGCAACUCAUAAGAAUUCCACCAAUUCUCCACUGUGGACAGGACAUUAGCAUGUCCAGACCACAUGUUUUCAAACUUAAAUUACCCCUUCCUUCUUUCCCAUCUGACUCUGCUCUAGGUAGCACCGUUUGGUUGAUGGUUUUGAAGGAAUCAUCCCACUGUCAUGAAACCAAAAAUCUAUCUAUUCUCGAAGCUGAUUCUUCAUUAUUCCCUCUGAACCUUGUGAACUGUCCACCAUGUAAAGGAAGAUCAAUAAGUUCCAUAUCAUCAAUGAAACUUGAUCCACUUACGAUACCUAUAGGAAAUAAUUGUUCUUUCAACCUCCACAACCAAUUUUCCCACCUAUUCAACUUGUCUGGUGUAUCCCUUAAUUGCAAAACAAAUUAUGCUAGAGUACUUGGUGUAGCGUUUUUCCAAGAUACGAUGGUGAAGACCCCUAGUUUCUAAUAUUUGUGGGUAGCAUUUGCAUUGUAAGAACUAGAUCAUGUUUAGGACACAAUCUUAUCAUUUCCAACAAGACUGCUGAAGGACAGUCAUGUUUUUCAAUAUAUUCUAUGAUUCUUGUCUAAAAGAUAUUAUUAAAAAGAAACACUUAGAACCCCGAAUUCAUCCAACACUUUUAGCUUUUAGCUUUUUAGAGAUCUAGGCAUAUUAAAUCAAUAAAGAGGUAGCUUACGAAAAAGUAUAUAUCAUAGAGAUGAAAGUCACAAUUUAGUUUUCUUUUGGUGUUAAGGGCACUAUGAUGAUUUGACUCUAAGCACAAUAAUUUGUCAGUUGUCACUAACUUAGCUGUCAGUAUUGGUUUCUACUUCACCUUGUUCAGUUGAAGCAGAAUUCCUUUUCACGAAAGUAUGUCAUAACUUAUGUUGCAGUUAUGUUCAGUGUCUGAUUCUUGUUUAACUUGUUAUUCUUCUGAGCCAUAUUUGCUUCUCUUUUAUGACCUUAUGACCUAAUUUUUGCUGCAGUUAUCUUCCAUCGUGGAUUCAUGUAACUGCAUCAUCGACCCUCAAUUGCCUGCUGAUGACUUGCUAAUGAAGUAUCAGUACAUAUCUGAUUUUUUCCAUAGCACUUGCUUAUUUCUCCAUUCCAGUGGAGUUGAUAUACUUCGUUAAGAAGUCGGCUGUUUUUCCAUAUAGAUGGGUUCUUGUGCAGUUUGGUGCUUUCAUAGUUCUUUGUGGAGCAACACAUCUUAUCAACUUAUGGACAUUUAAUAUGCAUACAAGGAAUGUGGCAAUAGUAAUGACUACUGCAAAGGUCUUGACUGCGCUGGUAUCAUGUAUAACUGCGCUCAUGCUUGUCCACAUUAUUCCUGAUUUAUUAAGUGUCAAAACUAGGGAACUAUUCUUGAAAAAGAAAGCUGCACAGCUUGAUCGUGAAAUGGUAUUCCUGAUUUAUUAAGUGUCAAAACUAGCGAACUAUUCUUGAAAAAGAAAGCUGCACGGCUUGAUCGUGAAAUGGGUAUUAUUCACACUCAAGAGGAGACUGGUAGACAUGUUAGAAUGCUAACUCAUGAAAUCCGAAACACUCUUGAUAGACAUACUAUUCUAAAGACUACAUUGGUUGAGCUAGGAAGAACAUUGGCCUUGGAAGAGUGUGCAUUAUGGAUGCCAACACGUACUGGAGUAGAGCUUCAACUUUCUUACACUCUACGUCAUCAAAAUCCAGUUGGACUGACUGUACCUAUACAACUUCCUGUGAUCAACCAAGUUUUCAGUACAAAUCGUGCCGUACAAAUAUCACCAAAUUCUCCUGUUGCAAAACUUCGACCUACUGGGAAAUACAUGCCUGGUGAGGUGGUUGCUGUCAGGGUUCCGCUUCUGCAUCUCCUCAAACUUUCAGAUUAAUGAUUGGCCUGAACUUUCAACAAAGCGCUAUGCUUUAAUGGUUUUGAUGCUUCCUUCAGACAGUGCAAGACAAUGGCAUGUCCAUGAGCUGGAGCUUGUUGAAGUGGUAGCUGAUCAGGUUUGAUUUUUCUAUUGGAAUUGCAUAGCUGAGUUGUUAGUUGUAUUAUUGGUAUUAUAUAUUGGAAUUGCAGAGCUGAAUUUUAAUUAGUAAAUUGUUAUUAUAAAUAUUUUCAAAGAUGAAUCAGCAGGUGAAUUAUGACUUUAUAUAUCUUUCAUUUGUUGAUUGCUUUUUGGUGAGUGAAUAGUUAAGCUGGUUGUGGAUGUGUUUAUUGAGUGUAUCUUGGUAGAUUUUCUGCUAGGACCUUAACUCCCAUUGGAUUUUGCUUUCAUAGCUGACACGCUGUAUUAGAAGCAUAGGAAGUAGGAUCUAUGGUAUAUAAAGAUAUUAUGAACUGCGAGUCUGAACUAAUUGAGUAGUCCUUUCUUGGUACAUAAAAUUCAUUAUAUGUAGUUUUUAAAGUACUAUAAUAUGAAGUGAAUCAUUUCUGGGGUAAUGUAUUUAAGUGUAUAAAAGUAAAUACUACUGAGUUGCUACAAAAAUGAUUUUUCAACAGAGCUGUUCAAAAAAUUUACAUCUGGCAUCUUACUUCUUCAUCAGAAAUUUAGAAACUUAACUUUUUCAUUCUGUCCCUCGUAAUGCACUGUUCUCGAAUGUAAUUCAGCUCACUAGCAAGUGGCAAGCCUAGUCUUAGCUUGACUCAUUAAAUAACCAUGAUAUUUUUACAUUUACAGGUGACAUGUCCAAGUUUUAUUGUUUUUGCUGUUUGCCUCGUAUGAUAUUCAGGAAUUUUUACCUUUUCUGCAUACUUAAGAUUUAUUAUCUUUGUCUCUGGUUCCUGGAUUUCCAACAGAUAUUGAUGGAAAACACAACUCAAUCAACUUGGCCUCAAUCUCAAAUUAGUUAGGGUCUGCGAUAUGAAACCUCUAUAUCUGUUCCGCUCCGACAGAGGUCCAGAAAUCAGAUUUCAAGGAAAUUCGUCAUAGUUGGACUAUUUUUAGGGUUGCUGUUAAGUGUUAACCAGCUGUAAUCCUCAUUUGUCUGGACUUGCCACCAACUAUUAUGCAUUCAUGGUGGAAAAAAUGACAAUUAGUUAAAAAAAAAAGGGACAACAGAGGAAAAGACAUUCACGUCGAAUCCCCUCGUUAAGAAGUCGGCUGUUUUUNNNNNNNNNNNNNNNNNNNNNNNNNNNNNNNNNNNNNNNNNNNNNNNNNNNNNNNNNNNNNNNNNNNNNNNNNNNNNNNNNNNNNNNNNNNNNNNNNNNNNNNNNCCUCCUCUCUGCCGAUUUUUGUAUUCUGCUUCUAGACAUAGGAAGAUACUCUGUUCUAGCUGUUAGUGUCUGGUUGCAACUAGUUUUUGGGCGUGUGUGCGCCUAUUUAAUUAACUAAGAGCUUAUCUUGAGUGCCAGUGUGAUUUAAUCUAUGCCUUGUCAUUCAGGUUGUUGUUUCUCUCUCACAUGCUGCAAUUUUAGAGGAAUCGAUGAGGGCUAGGGAUCUUCUUAUGGAGCAGAAUGUGGCUCUUGAUCUGGCAAGAAGAGAAGGAGAAAUGGCUGUUCGUGCACGUAAUGAUUUCUUGGCUGUUAUGAAUCAUGAAAUGAGAACUCCCAUGCAUGCGAUAAUUGCACUUUCUUCGUUGCUGCAAGAAACUGAUCUAACUCCGGAGCAACGUCUGAUGGUUGAAACAAUCCUCAAGAGCAGCAAUCUUUUAGCGACACUGAUCAAUGAUGUCUUGGAUCUUUCAAGGCUAGAGGAUGGAAGUCUUCAACUUGAUAUUGUCACAUUUAAUCUUCAUGCUCUAUUCGGAGAGGUGACCCCCCCCCCCNNNNNNNNNNNNNNNNNNNNNNNNNNNNNNNNNNNNNNNNNNNNNNNNNNNNNNNNNNNNNNNNNNNNNNNNNNNNNNNNNNNNNNNNNNNNNNNNNNNNNNNNNNNNNNNNNNNNNNNNNNNNNNNNNNNNNNNNNNNNNNNNNNNNNNNNNNNNNNNNNNNNNNNNNNNNNNNNNNNNNNNNUGGAUACAGCCUCUCUACCCUAGGGUAGGGGUAAGGCUGCGUACACACUACCCUCCCCAGACACCACUAAAUGGUAUUAUACUGGGUUGUACCUUUUUCCCAAGUUCUAGGUUAUCUGUGAAAAAUAAAAAACAGAGAGUUGUAGAUCUGUUUAAUACAUUACUGAUAUUUUGCAGUUCACUAUGUUUUGCUGGACGGGACUAACUGAUUUAUGUGUCUGCUUGUUGCUGUAGGUUCUUAACUUAAUCAAGCCUAUUGCAUCUGUGAAAAAGCUAUUCGUCACGCUUAGUUUGUCUGCAGAUUUGCCAGAAUAUGUCAUUGGGGACUAAGGCUGUAAAAUUGGCGGUCCCGAACCGGAAUCGGACCGGAACCGCGGCCCUGCCGGUUCCGGCGGUUUCGGUUCUAGCGGUUCCCGGGAACCGUGGCGGGGCGGUUCUACCCGUUGGAACAGCCAGAACCGGAACCGCCAGAACCGGAACCGGACUGGUUCUGGCGGUUCCAAACGGUUCCGCCGGUUCUCUAACGGGCAUUUUUCAAAAAAAAAAAAUUUUUUUUUUUAAAUAUUGGCUCUUUGCAAAAAGUAGCCGUUUGAAAGUUUAAAAAAUAGCCAUUUGGCCCACAAACUUUAAUUUAACCCAAAACUUUAUAUAAUUACACUAUUUCCCAUUUCUCAACUAUAAAUACCCCCUAAUUCUUUCAAUUUUAUUCACCAAUUCAUCAAUAUCUCUCAAUCUCUCUCAAGCUCUCUAUCAAUCUUUCUAGUGCAAGUGCUUAAUUUAUUGUUGCAAUUUCGUGAAACAGUGUGAAGUUGUUGAAUUGAAGUUUUCAAGUGUUCGAUUUCAACGAUUUUCAAUUUUCAAGAAGUUGUUCGUCAAUCCGGUAAACUCGUUUCAACUCUNNNNNNNNNNNNNNNNNNNNNNNNNNNNNNNNNNNNNCUCAACCUCCUAAACGUACAGAAACAUCAUUAGUUUGACAAUUUUUUAUUCAACUAAGAGAAAAAAAUAAGGCUAGGUGUAAAUCUUGUGGGAAAUUACUUGUUCAUAGGUAUACUGGAGAUCGUAUCGGCACGGGUAGUUUGACUAAGCAUAUAAAAUUACACCCUAGAGAUAAAGCUAGAUUUUUGCAAAUGAAAGCGCAACAAGAGGGAGGGGACAAGUGUAGAUUCUCAAGUUAACCCAAGUACUUGUUCAAAUCUAGUUCAACCAGGAAUAAACAUUGUCACCGGAGGUAUUUUAUAUUACGAUCCAAAUAAGGAUCGUGAAGAAUNNNNNNNNNNNNNNNNNNNNNNNNNNNNNNNNNNNNNNNNNNNNNNNNNNNNNNNNNNNNNNNNNNNNNNNNNNNNNNNNNNNNNNNNNNNNNNNNNNUCUUUUGCUUCUAAUCCUGCAUGGAUUCAUUAUGUUCCUUCUUCGCUAAUUCACACUUGGCAAGACCCAAGUUUUUUUUUGGUCUAAAAGGCUUUUUGCCUAGUAAGCUAUCAGCCGGGUGAUACCAAGAGUCCCACAUCGGUUGUUUAAGGGAUAGUUGGUCUCUUUAUAUGGCUUGGAUAAUUCUCACCUCAUGAGCUAGCUUUUGGAGUUGACUAAGGUCUGAAGUUCAUUUCUUUAUCGUGGUAUCAAAGCAAGACCCAUUCUAUUCUUGUUUUCACAUCGCUUGUACUAUCCACUCUCCAGAUGUAUGGUCCUGGCAAUUCAAGGGGGUGUUGAAGAGAGUCCCUCAUUGGUUGCUGGACGAGUGGUCUCUCUGCUUAUAAAAGUUAAUGCUCAAACUGUUUAUAAUGCUUAUAAACAGGCGUUAGAACAUGCUAGGCCUAAUNNNNNNNNNNNNNNNNNNNNNNNNNNNNNNNNNNNNNNNNNNNNNNNNNNNNNNNNNNNNNNNNNNNNNNNNNNNNNNNNNNNNNNNNNNNNNNNNNNNNNNNNNNNNNNNNNNNNNNNNNNNNNNNNNNNNNNNNNNNNNNNNNNNNNNNNNNNNNNNNNNNNNNNNNNNNNNNNNNNNNNNNNNNNNNNNNNNNNNNNNNNAACCCCUACUUCGUCUACAUCACAGUCGUCUAAAAGAGCUGCUGGCUUAACAGCUCUUAAAUUGUGGACGGAGUUUAGGGGUACUCAAGGGGAUAAUUUAGAUGAAAUUUCUCAUCUAAAUGAGCUUCAAGUUUAUUUGUCGCAGGGAGUAGAGCAUGAGAAUCCAGACGGCUCUUUCGACCUUUUGGAUUGGUGGAAGACAAGGGAAAAGC